AGAAAAGAGAUAAGUUAUAUACUGUUGGUAAUUAGAAACCUGACGUGAAAAUACCCGAAAACAAGAAAGAAAACUGACCUGAACGACUGAUUAUUCUGCUAUAUAUUCCUAGUUGAUUUUCAUUUACAGAAAACAAUAAAGGCUUUUGAGCAAGCACGUGCAAAGCUGUCUCCUGAUAUGAACCUCGUUUUGUAGCUAGGCUUGGUUCCUUGUUUUGCAUGUCAAAGGCUACAUCUGUAAAUUCACGCGACGCCAAAUUAUGGAAAACACCAUCAAAUGAAGUACUAAAUCGGAGCAAUUGGAGCAGAGGAUUUCUGUUCCUACUCACCAUAUAGACCAGUUCUAAUGCAUAUAAUAAAUAUUCCAUGUCGCUCUGCAUCGGUCAAAUCAUCAUCAGUGUGUUCAUAGAGAUACUUCACCAUGUCUCUGUGCCCCAACAAAGCAGCUAAAUGAAGCGGAGUCACUCUUGCAUUAUUUCGAAUUUUGGGCAAGGAUUGAUCCUCGUUAACCAUAAGCUCCGCAAGUGGAACUAUUCCAGAUAUCGCAGCGAAAGAAAGAGCAGUGUUUCCAUCUCUGUUCCUAAGUCGCAGUGCGACUUUCAAGCCUUGAGCUUUUAUCCACUCCACCAAUUUCCCCACCAACUGAACUUGUUUUCCUAAUGCAGCAAUGUGAAGAACAGUUUCCAUUCCUUCUGUUACACUCUGCCGCAACGCCUGUUGAUUUUGUCCUAUAAUUCGACCAACUUCCUCAACGUCACCCUUCAUCGCAGCUUGAUAAAGGGGCACACCGUACGUUAUAUAGCUUAUUCUUCCUUCAUCUGAAUAAUUCAAGAAGCGAUGUUUUAGCAGAAGUCAUGAUCGAUGAACACGUAGAACAGUAGUGGAUGACGCAUGGUUUUGACAAAACGUACCUGUAAACAAAUACUGAUCUGGCACAAGCCCAUCACGUUGAUCUAAAGUUGAAUUUCCAACCUCAACUCCUUUAUCCGCUCCUGGAGAGUUUGAUGGUGAACUAGCAGCAUUUACAUCAAUCUUGACAUCAGAUAUUCUGGCUGCCAUUGAGCAAAUUCUAAUAAAACAAAGCUAAGUUUUCUUCGAAUGUAUGUCUGCUGCUGAAACAAAGACAAUAUUUGUAUAUAUAAAUUUACAAAGUUAGGCUUGCGCCAAAGGAUAUGAUGACGAACAGAAAACUUGUCACCAAGGAAAGCAAGGACAUUCGUGUAGGACUUCCAUGAAGCUUACCAAAGUAUGGACCAAUGCCAAAAGGCAAUAAUGAUUAUAUAUAUAUAAAGUUUCAUCAGUAUCUGAAUAUUUGGUUCAUUGAUUGGUGUAUGAUCUCUUUAUUUAAAGAAUAAAGUUCAAAUUUCUUUUCUCCAAAUAAAAAAAAAUCUCAUCAAAAAGAAAAGUUAGAAAUAAGAAAUGCCUCCACACAAUUAGAUUAGAUAUGCGUUUUGAGUGACCACAAUGGGUGGCUUACACUCUUUGCACAAGCUCCGCACUAUGCAUGUGUCUCGUGAGAAUCUUACCUAUAAACAAUGGAAUAAUUAACAUUCUUAAAAGAAUGUUUUGUUGUUUUAACUUUUCUAUUUUUUAACGUAAUUAAGCAAAUUACUUUGACUUAAUAAAUAUUUUUAAUUUACUGAAAAAGAAAAAGCAAAUGACUUGACUCUUUGGUCACUAACCUUGAAACUUCUGAAAAAAUUUAAAAAAAAAAAGUUUAGAAAAUAUGGUGGUGAUACAAAGCAUCGAUUAUAAUACAUACUACCCGAUGCUUGUCUUGACCCUUGUCUAAUAAUGUCAAGUUGACUAUAUAAUUUGUAAAGUCUUGGUUAUGCUUUUAAAUAUUGCUUACCUUACAUCUGUUAGUACUCACCUUAUUUCCUAUUUCACUUGCUAAUUGUUUCUAUGUAAUUUUAAACUCUAAUAAUUUUUUUUAUUAAAGAAACAAAUAAACAUUAAGUUACAAGGUCAUAUCAUGACAAGUUUAAAUUUUGUUUUUAAUUAAUCGAACAAGUUUUGCAUGUGAGGACAGAUAAGAAUAGCAAAACAACAAAAUUAUUCACAAAAUCAAAGUUGGAUCUAACAGUUCUUUUUCUACAAAAAUAGUAAAAAAUCAAAUAGAUGAAUCAAUAUAAAUUUAAAUUAAAAUCAUACACAAUAAAUUCGUAUAGCAGUACGAGUAUGACCUUUUUCUAUUUCAUUUUCCCCUUUCCUUCCUUUUGAUUAUUGACAGUAAAACUUAGAUAUUUAAGGUAAAAUCCAAAAAAUUUCCCUAAAACACUUCAAAAUGAUACGUUGCCCCUUCUUAUUUUAAAAUAAUAUUUUAGUCGGUUGACUGUUAACACAAUUAGUCAACAGUUAAAAAAAAUUAUUUCCAAUACCAUAUAGAUAUUUUAGGAUCCUAAAUGUCCUCUUGAAAAAAAUCUGUUAAUGUUUUCUUCCGUAACUUAAUAAAAUUUAUUUUGAUAUUUAAUAAAAUUCAAUAUUUGACGAAGAAGAAAAAAACUUAAAACUCUAUAAAAUUCAAAAAAUUUGUAAAUGCGGUAGUUUGUUUCACUUUAAUAUUUAAUAAAAUUCAAAAAAAGAUAUAAAAGAAAAAAAACUUGAAUUCUUUGAUAUAUAAUAAUCAAGUCAAAAAAAUUGUUUGUCAGCCUAAAACCUAAUCUCAAAGAACAAAUUUUAGAUAAAAAAUUUUCAACAAAAUUAAUAAUCACGAAUAAGAAAUUAAUCUCUAAACCCCACAACAUCAAAUUUGAAAUAUUCAUCAUUGAAUAAAAGAGAAUAUGGUUAAAUUAAAAAAAAUAAUAUAAGGAGUACUUAUAUUUUAAAAUAUUUACUGUAAUAUUAAGUUUAAUUGUUUUAACUGUUGACUAAUGAUUUUUUUUUUUUUGGAUUUAAAACAAAACCUGUAUGACCAAUGAGAGAGAGAUGGGGCCCGGGGCAUCCCUUUCUCACAUGGAAAUUAGUUAGUACAAAAUUAUAGUGUAUCUUUUUGGUUUUUUAAUGUCCUAGAGACUGACUUUCCAUGAAAGGUUGACCCACUAUAUAUUAAUUAGUUCAUGUUGCAUUAUUUUCUUUUGGUGUACAUGUUCAUAUGUUUAUUUUGAAUUUGUCAUUUCAUUGGUGCAAGUAAAAAUUGUUUCUAUAUUGUAGGUUUAUCAUCAUGUGUUAGACUUAUUAUUUAAUAUUACCAUUUUGAGUAUAAACCCAAAACUUGGCUUGGCUACAUUCAUUUCAUCGACUCAUGCUUAGGUGAUGAGGAAUUAUUGACUUUAUGUGGUUGGAUGAUAAGCAAUGACAUUAUUAAUAUCAUUAAAAAAAGUCGAAGGAAUAAGAAUUCAGAAGGAAAAAGCUCGGGUGAUGACCCAUAGAUGGAGUAGAUAUCGGUCAAGAAAUAUAGUGCUAUGUUAAGUGUCAUGGUCUUCGCAUGGACGUGAAUCUCACAUCAUUGAAAUAAUGCUUCCAACAGGUUGAGCUAUAAAGUUUUACAUCGAAGAAAAAUUCCCAACGGGGAAUAAGAAAAAAUGUCAUGGUCUUAGAAAGUAGAGCUAUAAAUCUCACAUCUACUAUGUAUUAGAGUGAUAUUGAAAAUAUAAAGAUUUACACUACUUUUAGUCUGUGAGGUGCCUUUUGUGGGACAAACUAUAAGAUCAGUAGGCCAAAACAAAUAAUACUUCAUAGAGUUUGGUGUGGACCGUGACACCAAGGGUCAUAUGGACUUCAUACGACAAUAAACAUAGUCAUACAAUGGAAAUUGAGUCCAUAUCAAUCAAAGAAUAUGGUGCAAUGCCAAGGGUUGUACGGACUACAUACAACAACAAACAUAGUCAUACAAUGGAAAUUGAUGUAGGUAGUAACUUGGUGUCCAUGCAAUUGGUGUAAUAUCUUCUAUUAUUCUUCUUCUUCGACCUUUUCUUUCACUUCCUCCAUACUUUCUAUAGUCGCAUGGCCAUUCUUCCUCAAACAACGGGUCAGCUUGGUUGCAUCGAUUCCAUCUCCAAUUACCACAACUUUAUCCCUUGCAUCUCCUUCCAAAGCCACUGAUGACACACCUAUCAUUAUUUUUAAGAAGAGUAAAAUCAAAAUAAUGUUAGAUCAUUCUGCUCUAUGCAUGUAAGGUUUAAAUUUGAUGAUCAGAAGCAAAUAAUUAUUAAGCACCAUGAGUCUCAGCUACUUUCUUCAAUGCUUUGGUUUGGAACCCCUCUCCCUCAUCAGACUUCCUCAAAAUGUACCCAAAGAACCCUUUGGAGCGGCCCGUCUGUUUGUAUCUUAAUGACUAUCUUUUUCUGCAGGGAUAAACCAAACCAAGUAUCAAGUCAGAAUUAGUGAUCACAACCAAUUAUUCAAAAUUACGGUACACACACGUAUCUAUCUAUCUAUAUAUAUAUUAAGAGCGAAAGUUUGAAGCUAAAUCAGAGUUGACAUCAUUUUGUGAAAGUUUGACAUAAAAUAUGACCCUUCUUAUUCGAAAACAAAUUGCAAUCGACAGAAAACUCUAUAUAUAGAGAUAUGCUAGUUUUGGAAAUAAAUGGACGUACCUUCAUGUUGAAGGGUGUAAGAGGAAAAGGAAACUAGCCUUUUUAAGAGAGUGAUUAAUAUAAUGCAAUGAUGAUGAUCAAGGAAUGAGAAAUUAGACCAGUUUUUAUAGCAUUGUCAUCGUACCUAACGCUGCAGAAAUUGUGAACCUUAUGACACAGUCAACAGGUCUGAAUCAGUAAACGACUAAGAGAUACAACACAGGAUCACUUUCCAAGCAAAGUCAUUCGAUAUUUUACUUUGUUAGACCAACAACAAAUUUGUACAAUAUGACUUAUUUUCGUUUCAUUAAUUAUAAAAAAAAAAAUUUAGUUAGUUGUUACCAACUUCUGGUUUAAACUUUUCCAAUCAGUCCAAUACAUGUUCCUGUCCCACAAUACUUGUCGUUUCUUUCUUCUGGAACAAUAUCCCAUUAUUAAUUAUUUGAAAUUGAUCAAAAAAAUCAAUUUAGUAAACUGAAUCGAGCAAGUGUUACCAAUAAAUUAAAGGAAGGCUCACGUAUAUCUAAUAUUGGAUAAGCAUUAAUUAAUGAAUCAAAUUGUAAUUCAUACGUGAGCCUACCUUGGUAAAUCAAUUCUCAAGUGUUAAUUAAUGAAAUAGCAAAGUUUACAUAAAAAAAAAUCAUCAGAUUAAUAAUCACAAUAGUUAUUGGUAUGAUGGCUGCUAGUCUGCUAACUAAGAAUCAGCCAUGGAUUCAUAUUUAGGAUUUGCCAGAUUGUUUCCAAAGUUCCCAACGUUCAAAAGAAAAAGGAAUUCUCAGGUGGAAGACCGUACACGAUUGUUUAUAGUAGUUAAUUUGUUAUGAUGUACACUAUCAACUAUGUAAUCAAGGAAGGAGCAAUUCCUCAUUAAAAUAUUGAACAGAUAUGUGGGCCCAAUGUAAGGAAGAAAACACUUGUAAUUAGGAAAACAAAAUGAUUAUUAAUGAAUGAUAAAAACAGCAAAAGUACAUCAAAUUAAAAGCAUCCAAUGAUGUCCUAUCUCAGAAUCAUCGUUUGACUCAGGCUUAGAAUUUAUCUGGUUGUUGUUGAAGGUAAAUAGAUGGUACACGGGCAGAAUCAGGCAAUCUACUAGGUAAUGGUGAAAUGGUUUCUCAAGCCUCUGCGGGUCGUCCACAUAUCCAUAGCCGGUCUGAAUUAAGGUGAGAUAAAGGACUAUGAUAGCUCCAAAAGUUGAGAUCCCAACCACCCAGCUGCUGAAGUAAUGGUGCACCAGCCUUGCUCUAAUCCUAGCAUAAACGGUAUCAUAGUAAGAAUUAACAUCAGACACCACUUCGUGUAAGUAGGACUCCCAUGCAUCCCUUGCAAUUUCCUUGCAGAGGCCAUUGACGAGUCUUGCCACUUCUUUGUUGUUACCUAAAGAAUGGUGGAGAACCCCUUUGUGAUGAAGAAGUUCCACAUCAUGAGCUGAGUUAAUUAGCCCGUCGAAGAAGAACAAGUACGAUGUGACAUCUGGUUUGCACUGUGGAUGGCAUUGUUCAUAGGCUACCAGGUUACGAAAUAGUGUUCCCUUGUAAUCAUCGAUAUACAGAGGAGGGAUUUUCAGCAACCUUCCUUCAGACCGAACAUCCAGUGGAGGACAAUUAACACCUUUCUCAAUGAUGACACCAGCUUCCAUCAGCUCCGUCAUGGACCGCAUCAUGUCAGUUUCCGCCCCACUAAUUCCCUCUUCUGCUGUAUUCAUUAUUGUGUUGCUCGAGUCGCGUGUCUUGCUAGUUUUAAUUCCUUCUUCUGCUGUAUUCUCUGCUGCUUUGCGGUAAUCAAUUGUCUUGCCAGUUUCCUCUCCAUUAAUUCCUUCUUCUGUUGUACUCUUUGCUGCUUUGCCGGUUUCCUCUGCCUCUGAUAAGUAUCUUGGGAGGAUGCUGAGCCUGAAAAGGUCAAGAAAGUGGUGCGUUUCCGCACGUGAGCUGAUUCUCACAUCCCAGUCUGACUCCCUUUGUAAUAGAGGAUUAAAAAAACGAAGGGCAAGCUCUCCCAAAGAUGUGGUUGACUCUCCUGAUCUUCUGGUUAAAUCAAACAAUGUCUGCAGAACAAAUAGAGGAAGUUGGUUUUCAAGCAUGAUCAAAUCUCGGCGAAGAGUAGGCAGCAUCCAUCUUUUAACAGGGCGAGCAUGACGGAAGUUGUUCUGCUUCAACUCUCUGAAGAGCUCGACAAUGAAGCAGCCAUCAACGAGCAUCAUCUUAACAAAUUUAUCCUUGCUAUGUUGUUCAGCUUUAUCCCAGUAGCACCCACGAGCAACCUGUUCCAAUUCUUGCACCGAGUUCAUCACUUUGUCUAGUUCAACCCCAUUAGGCCGUUUUGGACGAAAGAGGCGGUGAAAGAAUUCCCAUUUCAGCUCUUCCAUUUCUCGUAAUCUUCCCUCUCCAUGAUGGUACGGACCGAUUGAGAUGAUACUGGGAGCAUAAGCUUCGGGUUGAACCUCACGCAUAUUUACAGGGACCCUGUAUAUGCAGGCGGUUUUUCUCUCUUCGGGAACUUUAAUUGCCAACUCCUUUUUCAACAAAGCUCUCCACUUAGAAACUUCAUGGGGAUCCCCUGGAUUCAAAUGCUCUGGACCCCAACUUUUGGCAUUGCCAUGAAAUGUUCUGCUCGUCUUCUGCAAAAGCAACCUUGUAAGCAAGCUGUGUCUCAUUUGGGGAUGAAGAAGGAGUAAACCAGGCACAACCCAAGGAUCAGGCUGCAACUGAAGAUGGAAAAUUAUCAUCCAUGGAAAAGCUCGAAGUCAAAUGCUGAAGUCUUUUUAUUAAUAUUAGGAAGCACAAGGUCAAUGCUUGGAGUCUUUUAUAAGCAAAAGAAUUUCCUCGAAGAUGAUGAAUGAUUGUUGUAGGUGAUUGGUUGUUGGUCCAACUCUUAAAUCUUUUCUGAUAGAAAAAAUUGAUAGUUUCUCCAACAACUAGGAUGAGUUCAUACGAUGAUUCCUUUCUGCUGGUCAUGUGUGUGAGCUUUGUUCAGAUAAUAUAAAAUCUCAUUACCCAACAAGUUGAUCAAUUAAUUUAUUGAGUUAGGUGCAUAUAGUCUCCAAGUUCCCACAUUAAGAUUCAACAGGUCUCCAUUGAAUAUAAUAUCUUAUUUCUUUGAGAAAUGAUUAAGAAAUAGUAGUACUAGUGCUUACUUUAUUUUGUUUUACGUGAAUUUUUUUUCCAAAAAGCAAAUGAAGAGAGCAUGCAUGCCAUGCCCGCGUGUUUAAGCAACAAAGUUACCUUGAAACAUGGGAUUUGGUUCAUUAAAUGAUAAAUUCUUGUAAUCAGGAUUGCUUCCCUCUCCCAAAGGCACUUCUUCUUAAGUUGGGCCUUUAGUAGAUUAGGCUUGUACUAGAUAGGGCCUCUUCUUCCUUAAAUCAUUGUUGCUUAUCCCUAUCCCCAUUGGGUUUGGACCAAAAUCUUCUUUUAGUUUUUAGCUUUGUGCUAUAAAUUGGAGACAUAUUUCAUGGCAUAAUUCAUCAGUCAAAUGAUACAAAAAGGAGGCUUGAUAUUAGAUUAAUAAGUAGAUAAACAUAGUAAGUCCCUCAAAUUUGCAUUGGAAGUGUAAAAACUAGAAGAUUUUAUACUUAUAAAUUCUUUUUUAUAAUUUUAAAUGAUAAAAUAUAUAUGAUUAAAAAUAAAUUAUUAUCCGGUAAGAUAAAUUGUUUUAUUAUAAUAAAAAAUGAGUAAAAUGUUAAUUAUCUAAACAAAAAAAAUAUAAAGCAGUAAUACAUCCAUGCCACCUUGUCACACAUUAUUUUUUGCCUUUAAAUGAGAACAAUUUGAUGUCAACAUUAAUCGAAUAACCUUGUCAUAUUAAAAAGGUCAUGAGAAAGGGAUAGAGAGUGACAAAAUUUGACACAAAAUGCGACCCUUCUCUUGUGUCUUAAUCAAUUUCACGUCUUCUACCAAUUAGCGUGACAAACGUCAAUAUUCGAUUGCAAGAAAAUCAACAACAACUCUCAAUUAAUUCACCACAAUUAUUUCAACACAAAAUAAUUAAUCUUGCCUUGUGGAAUUAAUUUUGGUCAUAAAAUAAUAAUCUCAACACUAUUUCCUUCUCAUUUUUCUUAAUUAUUAUUUUUUUUUCAAAUGUCUCAAUUUUAAAAUUUUUAAAAAUCUUACACUCUUUUUUUUUUAAAAUUAAUUUUUUUUCAAAUUUUAAUAUAUAAAAUAUCUUAAGUUCUAUAAAAGAAUUAUUUAAAGGUGAUGUUAACCAUUUUUACACUACCAAUUUUAUUUAACUAACAUAUAUAAAAAUUGAAACAUUAAUUUUGGUGAAAACUCAAGAAAUUAAAAGUUGGAAAAAACUAUUAGUUAAAGACAGAAAGAGAAAGAGUAAAUUUAUUUUAUGUAUUAUUAGUUUUGUUUAGGUAGCAACAACAAAAACCCUUUGACCCUUAAAAAAUCUGAUCCUCUCUUCAAAUAUAUACACCAAAUUAAGUUGAAUUGCACAAAUUUGAUGGGCUUUGGAUGCUUUUCAAUGUUGGGGUGAUGGUACCUAGCCAAGAGUAAAGUUAGUGUUAAGCAACGGUCCGGCUGAGUCGAGGGCCAGCCGGCCAUAAUCAAAGGCUUUAUAGCUAAGUUUUAGGGAUGAAAACUAGGAAAUCAACAACAUUAAAAUACCAUUCGUCGCCUUCUUCUCCUUCCGUUUCCGACAUCGCAACGACCCAACAACAGAAUCUUGCUUCGUUUUCCAAUAUGGCGCGAAAGUCCUCUCUUUUCAAACAGACCCUCAUCGCCACCGCCUUCUUCAUCCUCGCCAUCUACGCCUUGUUCACCACUUUCUUCCACACCCCCCUUCCCGUCUCCGACACCGUGUCUCCUUCCGACGACGCCGCCGACGUUUCUUCCGUCGAGUUUCCUGAGAGACGAGCGGACGGGUCCGGGUCCGUCGGGAACGUCAAGGUCUUUAUGUACGAUCUCCCUCACAAGUUCACCUACGGCCUCAUCCAGCAGCACGGCCUGGCGCGUGGCGGAUCCCCCGUCGAUGACGUCAGCACCCUCAAGUAUCCCGGCCACCAGCACAUGCACGAGUGGUUCCUGUUCGCCGACCUGGCACGACCCGAAUCGGACCGCCUCGGAUCCCCUAUCGUUAAAGUCACUGACCCGGAAGAAGCCGACCUUUUCUACGUUCCCGUCUUUUCUUCGUUGAGCUUGAUUGUGAACGCGGGUCGGCCUCCGGGUACCGGUUCGGGUUACAGCGAUGAGCAAAUGCAGGAAGAGCUGGUGGAGUGGCUCAACGGGCAGGAGUACUGGAAGAGGAAUAAUGGGUGGGAUCACGUGAUAAUUGCGGGGGAUCCCAAUGCGCUUUAUCGGGUCGUGGAUCGGGUCAAGAAUGCUGUUUUGUUAGUUGCGGAUUUUGGGCGGUUGAGGCCGGAUCAAGGGUCAUUGGUAAAGGAUGUCAUAAUUCCUUAUUCGCAUCGGAUUAGCGCUUACACUGGAGAUUUUGGGGUGGAAGAGAGGAAAACAUUGCUCUUUUUCAUGGGGAAUCGGUAUAGAAAAGAGGUAAUCAAUAGUUCAUUACAAGAAUUUUUAAUUUCAUGUCUUUGUUGAGCAGGUUAUGAUGUUAGUUUCUAUUUCAUAUUUUAAGUUUCAUUUAUCGAACUGGAGGUUUUUGUUUGUUAAGCUUACGGAGCAUGAACAUAGUUGGUUUAAGUUGUGCCACCAGAUGAGCUGAAGUAUUGAGCAAAAAAAAGAUGAGCUGGAGUUGAAACUUGGAUUAGGAAAUCAAGGAAAAAGAUGAGCUGGAGUUGAAAUUUAGAUUAGGAAAUCAAGGAAAAACAUAGAGUUAUGGAGUAAUUAUUAGCUUGAGCUUGCUUAUAUCCUGCUAUAUUUUAUACAGACUACUGCACAUGAAGGCAUUGGCCUAAAAUCCUCGAUUGAUCACUCAUAUUCAACUACUGUUUCCACUGCUCUUCUAAAAUCAGGGCUUAAUUUGACUGCUUCCAUCUUACUUAGACCUGUAAUGGAUGACUACCUCAUGCUCUUCAUCCAAAACUGUUUUGUUUAUCAUAAUUUGCUGUGUUGGCCUCACCAAAGUUUCUACGUUUGCUCUGAAUGGUUUUUUUAUUUCAUCCACAACUAUUCUGUUGAGUAGAAAGUUCUUCCCUAUUCGCUAGCUUAAAUGACUGCUCUUGACUUUCUGGUUAAGAAUUAUACUAUAGCCCCUCACACAAGCAGAUGUUAGUUUGAAAUCAGAUGCUAUCAUGAAGGAGAUCUCACAUGAAGGACUAGCAUACCAUGAUAUGUUGGUAGUAGUACUUGCAGGAUAAUCAUGUUAGGUGAACUUGUUUCCUCAGUUGAUUUUUCGUUUAUGGGUUCCUUUGUGAUGCUGAUGUUUUUUCAGGGAGGCAAAAUUCGCGAUUUGCUUUUUCAAAUACUUGAAAGUGAAGAAGAUGUCUUAAUAAAACAUGGAACACAAUCCAGAGAGAACAGAAGAGCAGCCUCACAUGGGAUGCACACAUCAAAGUUCUGUUUAAAUCCUGCAGGCGAUACUCCAUCAGCUUGCAGACUCUUUGAUGCUAUCGUUAGCUUGUGUGUCCCAGUGAUAGUCAGUGAUAACAUUGAGUUGCCUUUUGAAGAUAUUAUAGACUACAAAAAGUUUUCAGUAUUUGUGGAAACUACAGCUGCACUAAAACCCGGAUAUCUUGUUUCAUUGCUGAGACAAGUACCUGCGGAGAAAAUUAUUGAAUAUCAGAAAGCAAUGAAAGAGGUUUGUACUAUUUGCAUUUCCUUUCCUUUUAUCUUAUCAUUCUCAUUAAAUUACUCCAUUAUUGAGAAGUAAUAACAUUUAUUUCAUGUAUAAAAUUGACAACCAGAAUUUAAUCCUACUACACGUUUUCAAUAAGUAUAUAUUUGCAUUUUACAUCAUGCAUUUUAUUUGUCAAAUAUCUCUUGUUAAAAUUGCUUAGUGAUGAUGUGGUUUUGCUUUCUAAACUCCAACCUUGUGUCUACUCCAGACAGUUCCAUAUGACAAAUAUGGAAAUCUGUGUUCUGAUUUGCUAAUGUUAUCUGUUUUUUGAGCAAUUUUCCUCAUUAAGAGCUAUUGGAAUCAAUCUGUUUCUGUUUCUGUGCUUGUGCCUUUCAGUGCCAUGGAGUCUGUUGCAUAUGUAAAAAGCAGAAAUAUUAUAGAGCAUCAUCCUCUUCUCUUAUUUUAUGGCUGAGCUAUGUAUUGUUAUCAAUUUGAAUUACUCUAUGUUGCGUCAAUAGGUUCUGUAAAUUGGACCUAUGGGUAAAACAUGAACAGAAUCUGACUUUAACUUUCCACCCCAUAUAAUCAGCCUCAGAAUAGUGGGCUGGAGUCUGGUGGUAAAGUUCUUGUAACAAUUCCAGAAGGUGCUACAUAAGAAAGGAUUAUGUUUAUACAUGUCUGUGUAAGACGAGUAGAAGAGAUACUGAGUGUAGUGUCGACUGGAGUGUGGUAUUCUUUUUCUUGUUUGUUCUCAUGCAUCAUUACAUAGUUACCAGUGAUCACAAAAUCAUGAUUUUAUUUUAAAUAUCUGUGACUGAGUUUUGUUCUCAAUUUAAAUUUUGUGGAUUCAGGUGAAGCGGUACUAUGACUACACUGUUCCGAAUGGAACAGUUAAUGAAAUCUGGCGGCAAGUCUCACAAAAGCUACCUCUUAUCAAACUUAUGAUUAAUCGUGACAAACGGCUUGUUAAGAUGGAGUUGAAUGAGCCCAACUGCUCAUGUCUUUGUUCAAACCAGACAGGAAUUAUCAGCUCCUUGUGAUAACAUCAUUUUUUGGUGAUCCUUGAAGUUCAUCUGUCAAAAUGACUGUCCCUGAAUACGAGCGAGGCAGAUACUCGACCAGACCCUCCCAGGUUUGAGGAAUAAUUUAUGAUACCCGUUUGCCUUCAGGGUGGGGUUUUCUCCUACUGCUGAUGAGGCUAGUGAAAUUUGCCAUUGUGGAAGGCUUUCUUGCAUACGUUGUUGUAGAGUAGAUUGAAAUUUUGAUUAUAGUUGUAAUUGUAAUUGAUUUGUACAUUGUAGAAAUAAAAAUAUCAGUGAUGCUUUGAUUCUUUUACUUCGGCCUGCAAUCUUUUGAUUGAAAAAUCAAAUUGCAUGUAAUAGCACAAAACCCAAAUUUCUCAUCUCUUCAAGGUGUUAAGAUUCGAAGUACAUUAGACCAAUUCAAGCCUUAGAAAUGAUAGAAAAGAAGACGAGAAAGAGAGCACAAGGGAGAUUGAAAGCCAUGAAAGUUUCAGGAUGCAUCUGCUUCAACUCCUUAACCAGGUGGCCAGUUCAUCUGUCUCCCACCUAGGACAUGCAAGUGAAGAUGAUAAACUGAUUGACCUGAAGAGAGCGAGAGAGAGAGAGAGAGAGAGGUAAUAAACAUGAGUAUGAACUGCAAACCAAAGUCAAAAACUAUGGAGACAAGAUGAUAACUCACAGGCACUUGGACCAUUAUUGAUGACAACUCGAAACCCAUCAACAAUGCCUUCUUUUUCAGCAACAAUUUUGGCAGCAUAAAGAAGUUGACCCAGAAUCUCUCCGUGCCUUGGUUCAGCCUGACAAGUUAGAAACAAGAAACUAAAAUCAGACUACAGGACAGCAAUUUCAAUUACAUUCUUCAAAGAAAAUCCAAACGAAGUUUAUGGAUCUGGUAUGCAAAUUCUUUAUGGGCUCAUCUUCCUCAUAAAAGCACAGCAAAAUUUUUAAAAAAGAGGGAAAACCUAAUCAACUAGAACAGCAAAAUUCACAAAACAUGUUCAGAUGGUCCAGCAAGUCAUGCAAGACAAAAUGCAACAAUUUAUAUAGAUAUAGCAGUAUCAAUAAAUAUGACUGGGACACACCUUUCCAAGCUGUGUCAAUCCAUCCCUAAACUUUGGAAUGACUAAAACAUGAACAGGAGCCUGUGGAUUGAUGUCCUUGAAUGCUAAGACUUUAUCAUCUUCAUACACAAUGGUUGAAGGAAUUUCCUUUGCUAUGAUCUUGUCAAAUCUGAAUGAAAUGAAAAAAAAGAAUCAACUCUUAAUUCAAUAAGUAAACGGCAUAAACACCUGUGACUCUGUUGAACUCCUAAUUCAAGGAUUUUAAUAGUUUGUUACUAAUGUGCACUGAUGAACUCUGGUGAUUCUAGUGACUUUGUAUGGAUGGGGGUUUCUUGUGCACUCUGUUUGUCUCUAGUGUAUUGUUUUUUACAAAUGUGCAGGUGGAAACAAGUGUUCUGUGGUAUUUUUUGUAAAUGUGCAGGAGGUGGAAAUUAUAAUUUCCCAUACUCUGCUGUUGGAGGUAUGAUACGGGCAGUGUGAAUUGUGAUAGUCUGUAGAGAUGGGGCUCUAUGCUGGGGGUGAAGGGUCUGCAAGAACAGGAAACAAACUUCUUCUUGUUGUUUUAUAUUCUUGCUGAUCCAACUUUGCCGGCUCCUGCGAGAGGCUCUGAGUUUGUAAAGGUGUUUGUAUCCUUGGGUCCUGUUUUUGGUCUUUGUACAGUGGGCUUGAGUAUUAGUACUGGAAAUUUUUUGUAAACCAGUACGCCAUGGAGGAGCCAUCCACAGUCAUGGCUGUUCAUCCUUCUUUUGUAACUGGGGAAACCUGGUAUCUUUUGAUAUUGAAUCAUCAUCAUAAUUUACAAAAAAAAAAAAAAGAUUUUAAUAGUUAGCAUUUAGCAACAAUGUGUUCUCCCCCUUCUUCCAUAUCUCAUAGAGAAGUUAUCAGCAUAAUCAAUUCUUUGUCUACAAUCUAUAUGUCCCUUUUAACAUUACAAAGCGCUAACCCUAAACUUAAAAUGUUAUUCCCAAUGUUUUUUACUUUUAUUCUUAAAAUCAUAUAAAAGGGAGAUGAAUUUCCAUAUGUCAUCAAAAUCCAUAAAAUUCAACAAAAUAAUAUAUAACAAAUUCCAAGCUGGAACUGGAAUUUGAAACCAAACCAGGGUAUUAUAGAUGAUACAUGGUUGGAACUCCACUGUCAGCAUUGAUUGCAGCUGCCUUCGCUGCAGCCUCUUCAUCAUGUGUAGCACUAGCACGACAUAGAUAUCUACAGAGUGCGAUUCAGAGACAUCAAGAAAAGGCCAUUGGAAAAUUGACAAAGUUUUGCAGUUUUUCUUCACUUCACUUCACUUGUUUGCUAAACCACAAAAAGAAAAUGAAAAACAACAACAAUUUGAAGCCUAAUUGAACAUUCUUUUCACCCCAUUUUCUUUGAUUAGCUAAUUAACAACAAAAGUAAUAGCAAUCCAGCAAUUGAAUGCUGAAAUAACAGAACUUUCCUUGUCUACACCAAACCAAAAGAAUGGAGGGAAACGAAAAUAGUACCUCCGUGAGUGAUUUGCAGUUAGAAAAUUUAUAGAACUGGGAUAAGAAGAGAUUCCUGGUGAGGCUCUCACUCUUGCAACAAUCCUUCCAGCCCUUGCAUAAUCACUGUUCAAAUCAAAUACCCAGAAUCAAUAUUCUAUCACUAUAUACUUACAGAUACGCAGAAAAUGACAAUAGAGAUGAGUCAUAAGAGUACCGAAGAACAGAGAAAGAGGUGAAAGCAGCCAUAGAUUUUUGGGCUGAUAUCAUUUAUCUGUUUCUCUCAAAUGUUUUACUAGCUGAAACUGUGAAAGUGAACAAAAGUAGCCGCUUGGUGAACUGGUAGAAGCGAUUUCUGAUGAUGGGUACUCCCUGAUCUGAUCCGGGCCUUUGAAUUUCUGGGCCAGUCCAAUUUGCACUUUAAAAUCAUACAAGUUUGAAAAAGUUCGUGUGGCUCUGAUUAAAAGCACGUUUUUUUUUCCACGGAUGGGUAUUAUCUCACACUUCACUACAUAUAACAAAUCUUUCAAGAUUGAAUUUUUAGAUUAAAGAACAUACAGAGAAGGGCUGGACGAAAAUGGCCAACUUCGUUCUGCAACUGCCAACCAGCAACUUGAGAAGCUUCUCUGUUUAUGCUUCAUCUAACGGUACCUUCCGUAUUUCUGUUUUCUAUGUUAAGAAAGAUGGAUUCUUUCUGCUUUUUCCAACAUUUCUGCUAAGAUUGUGUCUGCUCAAAAGUAAUAGCCUUUGGAUUACUGAUAUUGGCAUGAAAGAAUAAGUAGUACUACUUUUAAUUCUAUGAAUUUAUUAUGUAUUUUGUGAUUGUAUUUGAUUGGAUUCUUGCUUGGUUGAAUGCUUGAGUUGAAUGCAAACUAGGGGCUCCUAUGGGUACUGGUUCACAAAGUGGGGGCCCUGUGAUUUUGGAGCUUCCGCUUGAUAAGAUCAGGAGACCCCUGAUGCGCACCAGAGCAAAUGAUCCAAACAAAGUCCAGGAACUCAUGGACAGCAUUCGAGAAAUUGGACUUCAAGUACCUGUAAGCCUUUUCCAUUUUCUUGUUUUUUGUAGUAAAUGCAGUUGUUUUGAGUGCUUUAGAUAUGGUAGAACAGUCCUUGAAUACUCUCAUACUAGUUCCCAGAUUAUGAAGAAUCACCUGGAAAAUUUGAUCUUUUAGUGUUAUGAUUUGUUUUGUCUCUGAUUUUGAGUAUAAGAACUCAAAUCUUGACAAAAUUGUUCACCAAAAGAGCAUAUCCAAAUUGGUGACCAUCUUUUUAAAAGAUAAGAAGUCCACAUUGACCCUGUAUUUUAAGAUGCAGAAAGCUUUGAUAGUAUAGAUAGAUGAUAUACUAGGAUUUCCCCUUCAAAUUUUCAUGACUUAUUAUUUGUGCCUUGAUCUUGUAAUUCUUGAACUACUAUUUGUUGAACUUAAAACCUUUUUUCUGAUAAUCAAAUCAAUUGCAGAUUGAUGUGCUCGAAGUUGAGGGAGUUUACUAUGGUAAUGUGCUUAAUGUACUUUUAUCUUGAUUCUUCAACCUGCCAGUUCUUGGCUACUUCUAGUCCAUGGAUCCUAAAUUGGAAUACGUCAAUAUAUCAUUGGCUUCAAUGUUUUUCUCUGUAGCUAAUACCUUGGAGACUAGAACUUACCUUUCUCAUUUCUGCACAUCCCAAUUGUACAGGUUUCUCCGGUUGUCAUCGUUAUGAGGCUCACCAGCGCCUUGGGCUCCCAACAAUCCGUUGCAAAGUUCGACGUGGAACCAAAGAAACUCUCAGGUUUCGGUUUUCUCAGUUUUUGCUCGAGUCAUAAUCAGUCUGUUCUACCUUUCAACCUCAGUUGACAACCAAGUUUGUUUAAACUUUAUCUUCAUUUUGCAGGCAUCAUCUUCGCUGAGUGGUAGUAUCUGCUUCUUAAAGUGCAUACACAACUUUGAUGAUGUUAAUCAGACAGUAUAUGCACUUCUCAGCUUUUUGCAAGUGCAGUAUAUUCUCAACCUAUUUUAUUCUUGUUCAGGUUUGUAGAUUACCAUGUAAUCGAUAGUAAUAUACAGUUUUUUAUGAGUCUCGAAUAUAAUUAGAAUCAUACCUCCAAUGUUAUGUUAAGUGAUCAUUAAAUCGAUGGCAGUGGAUAUAUAUAAGUUUAGUAGGUUAAGUAAAAUAGCUAGUGUUUUGUUCCUGGCAAGUACCAUUGAUCCAUGCUGUGACAGGAAAAUUGGAUUACCCUUUGAAUGGCUGGAAACUGUUUGAACACUCCGCACCCAGACUUUCUUGGGAGCCUUGAGCUGAAAAUUCAGUGGCCCUCUUUGCCUUCUGCAUGCUGCUUUAUUCAUUGAAAUUGAUUAAAUGUGUCCAUGGAUUGAUUGACAGUAGUAAGGAAUGGAGCAGAAGAUUUGCUAUCUAUUAGUAAAGUUCUUUCCCUCAAUGUAUAAGACCUUAAUUCUUGUUAGGAGCUUCAACCAAAAACUCUGAAUCGAUGCAUAGGUACCCGUCUUGCAGCCACUCUGCAAUGCUAAACGUGGUUGUGAAAUCAGAAUAUGAUGAUGGAAAAAGCCUGAGGGAUAUCGCAUUUGUUCUUGUAAGGGCUGGAAUCGGAAAUAACAUCAAAAGCUUGCAAGCAAUUCAUCAACUUUUGACAUUUUUUGUGUCACAGUUUUAAAAGAAAGUUAUGAAUUCCUCAUUGAUUGUUUGCUAGAGUGAGACGGAAUAUUUAAAUGUUUCACUCCACCUUCGUCAACAUAAUGCGAGUCCCAAUGAACCAAAACGAAAAAUAUUUGCAGGUUGAUACAGACCCUAAAUCAUGAUUAAAACUCCAGGUGAUCAAUGAACAACCAGAUUUUGUAUGUAAAACCACAGGUCGAUAUCAUCAAUAUAAGAUAAAUGAUUGAUGAACAACCGGAUUUUGUAUCGAAAACCACAUGUUUAUAUCAUCAAUAUAAGAUAAAUGAUACGAUCAUUCUGAUGCAAUGUUAGCUAGCUGGGGCAAUAGUUACAAAAAGCAGAAAUCAAUCCACAGGGAUAUCCAGGAGAAGCUUUAUUCUUUGGCAAAUGUAGUGUUUUUUCUUUUACCUAUAUAGUUAGUUUUUUUUUUUUUUUUUUUGGUACAACUGGGAGCAUUGCGGCUGAAACUAGGAUCUGAACCAACUAUUCAACCCCCAUGAGCGAAAAGCACAGGCCUAGGUACACAAAACGAUAUGUAACAUUUAACUUACAGGAAAAAUAACAGUGUAAUAAAAGUUGUGAAGUACAUUUACAUACACAUUUUGCCAAAAUUUGUGUGAGCUAACUCUAAUUUUAUGACCUAAUCACUAAUCGUUGACAAGAGACACAUAAUUUAGCCUUUAUAAUCCUUUCUUGAUGCUGACCGUCAUUCUACUUGUAUGAUAUUGGACCAGACCUUGAUACAGCAAACCUUGGCAGCGGACUGGGACCUGUGCUUCCCGAAGCCGAUCCUUCAGGGUUCUUAACUUUACGGCUUGAACUGUAAUCCAAAGGCCCAGACCGGCGAACGUUUCUAUGUUUGUUUUCAGCACUUCGUAGGCUUCCACUUUCGGCAUCAUAAAGGUGCUCCUGGCUGUAUGAUGAAGAUCCUUUAAAGUAACCUGAAUCAUUAGCACUAUACUGUGGAGUCAAAUCUCCACGGGGUUGCCUCAUUACAGGGGAUGCAUGUGCCAAUGAUACAGAAGGUGAAUGGCGUGGUGAAGCACUUAAUAGUGCCAGUGGCAUCAAAGGAGAAUUUGCAUAGUACUGGCUAUAUAUUGAACGGAGAAUAGCAUAAGGAACGUGGGUCUCAAGAGAGCUUCUUGGAAGGUAUGGUGAAAUGUCAGAGAGUUGGUCAAGAAAAAUAAGCUUGGCGACAAGAUGAGAUCUGCACAUAUUGAUGGACAAACAUCAACACUUUGCAACUACAGCAUUAACAGGAUAUGCAUACACAUGAGAUGUGAAUAGUGGAUUGUCAUGGUUUUUUUAAAGUUACACAUGUAAUAUCUCAUCAAAUUUAACAAAUAAAGACCAGGGAGUACUAGAAUUAGAACCAAUCAUUUAAACACUAAAACCCAAUAGGUCAAAUCCAUGACAGUGACAAUUUCCAUGAUGUUGACAUGUUAACAGUUAUUAAUAAAAUACUCGAGAAAAUGUGAAAUAACAUGAGAUUAGAUAAUUCUUUAAGAAAUUAACGCAGACUUCAGAAGCAUCAGUGCUUAAGCAAAGGUUAGUAUAGGUCUCAAGUGGAAAAUUUUACCAUUAAAGAAAAAAAGGGCAUGAAGGGACUGCACCAACAUCAGUAUCAUUUACCUGUUAGCUUCGUUCCAUGAAUCUAGUACAAUUCCUGCCGAGAAUUUAACAAAUAGUUGCAUUGCUGCUUUUAUACUGGCUUCUGCGGAUACACGGAUAUCAGGAUCCAAACUGUCACCGGCAUGACCAUUUGAGAGCAACUGUCUCUGGUGAUGUUCACGUGCCAAUCUAACAUACUCACUUCCGGCUAUAACAGCACUGAUGCACCUGUCAAGUUCAAAUUAAAUAAUUAGCACUCUGGUCAAACAGCAUAUUGCUAACCCCCUUAUUUUACUACAAUCCAUAUAGAAGCAAUGCUUGAGCAGUAACAAUCAAAAGUCUAAUAGACAGUUUGUCUCCUGAAUGACUUCAUCAAGAAGCCUUAAUUUUGACACAAACAACCAAAGCUGGUGUGCAGGCCAGGGUGUAGAAUCUACAUGAGGCGUAUCUAAGUCCCUCAUUUUAAUUCUGAGAGAUUUUGAACUGCAAACCAACAAGUCAAUGUUGGGUUAGACAUACUAGUUACUAGGCAUUCAGUUCAGAACAUGGCAAUACUAUGUUUUCUAGAACUCAAGGUCAACCCAAAACUAUUUAAAAAAAUGAAAAAAAAAAUCAGAAAGGACACCCACCUUGCCAAGCCAUGAAUAUUGUUGUUGAAACCCCCCGUGUCAACAUUGAAGCCAGUCGUGUUCCAGAUAUUUGAUGUCAUGAAGGUGGCAAAUAAAUAAGGCAAUAAGCUCCAGGACCCAUCAUUUGCACCUCCAACUUCUUCCAAAAUCGACCUAACCCACUCAGAGUCAUGAUCACCAGCAAGCGCAACACUGUUUGCUACCCCCCUCAUUCUUCUGAUUUCCCGCUUUUCAGGUAUUUCUUCAGGUAUGUGCUUAACUACCCCAGCAAGCAAUGAAUAAAUCAAGGGUGCACCUUCUUCGAGCACUGCUCCAGCAGCUUCAGCUAAAAGUUUAUCAAAAGCCAAUGCUUGUCCUGCCUCAAUACAAAAACCAAUUAUUGUGUCCAAAUCCACAAUUUGCUUCAAACAAGCUUCUCUUUCUAUCCUGUCACCAGAAUGCAUGCUGCCAGCAACUGCUUCUAACAACUCACGAUUUGACCGCAAUGAUGUGUCAAUGCAAUUCAACAGGGCAGCAGUAUGUUCUUUCAUCAUCCUAUCUAGUCUGUCAACUCCAUAACCACCAAAUAUACGAACGAAGGCCUGCAAUUCUCUAAGAUCAGUGACUGACUCAGCAAAAUAUCCACCAACUGGCCUCGUGCUUUUGAAGCAUUUGUGCAUGGGUGUAAACAGAAUUCCAGCACCGGACAUAUCCUUCACAAUGUUUUCUAUGUACCAGUUGCAGACAACUUCAGUGGCUGAUCCAGUAUGUUGCUCUGCUGGUUUAUCAAAUACGUGCAGAGAAGAAAUUGGUCCAGAAAAGGUCUCUGAAAGUAAAACUUCUCGAAUUCCUUGAGUUAGAUCCAUGCUAAUGUGCUGUUCUGCUAGAUGGACUAUAUUCAUGUGUCUGCGGAUCAGUGAUUCUAGAAUAGAAGGCCUUUGAAGAUCAUUAUCAGUUUUUAGUACUGUAAGUAAUCUCCUUCUGAAGUUGCCAAGGAUGCAUUCCCUCAUGUACUGCACAUAUGAUGAGAAUAUUAAAACCAUAACACAUGAACACCAAAUGGCCUGCUAUGAAUAUUUGACCACAGAUGAAUCUACCACAUCAAGAAAAAUAAGCAAGAUAAUCUUGCUUUCAACUAAUAUGUUAAAUAGCGGCUUAAAUAAAGAAAACCUAAUAAGUUAAACCCCAAUUUACCAAGAAAGUUAGCAGAAUAAAAUAGCCAACUCAGAACCUAUCAGUAGGACUGCAAAUGAAAUGGAAACGUAUUCUAGGAAACCAAUAGGCCAGGCUCACAUUUAACCGCUGCUACAUAAAAGGGCCAGAAACAGAUUUAGCAAGACUCACCUCCCUCAGAACAAAGACAUGGUUCAGAACACAUAUAGGCUCCAUAUCAUUCAAAACUGAACACAAAUUGGUCAACCUCUGCAUUGCAGCCUCCAACCUAGAAUAAAACAAAAGUUGUCACUAUUGACUGUACCGACUGCAUACAAUUUCAGCAAAGGAAAGAAAAGUUCAUGCAAGUGCCUUACAUUUUAAUAGAAUUGUUAUUCUCUGGAUAACUUUCAUGGCCUGGCAAAGGAUAGCCAACUGCUCCUUUUGGGGAUUUUGCCGAAGGAAUCGAAGCUCUGGAUGCAUUAUUCAAAUAAGAUGCUGCUUGCUCUGGAAGAAGCUGAGAUUACUUGAAACAUUAGGUUUAUAAAAUGUUAAAUAUCUUCAAUUAGUUACACUGGAAUAUGGAUUCAAUAUGAACCUGCAUCUCCAAAGCCCCAAAUCCACCUUCAGAAUCAAGGAUAUUAAUUAAACCUUCCAAUCCUCCCAUGAUUGAUUCAAUGAGAGACUCAACAUAUAGGACUGCAUCUCGCUCAAUUUUCGUCACCUGAUUAUGGUUAAAUACAAGCACAAAUCAGGUUUCCCAUUUUUAUAUUUCCAUCUGAUGAGAGGGAAAAACAAAAGUGGUACUGCAGAUUGAGCAUAAAUAAUCUCAAAACAAUAUGUUGUCAUAAGUCAUAACUUGUCAGAAGAAGGGUAAAUACAAUGUGUAGAUUUUGUGCAACCGCUAGAAAAAUGGGGGAUGAAAGACUAUGAAAUGGGGGGAGUGGGGUGUUUCAUGCUGAUGUUUAAUUAAAUCAUUACCUCCUCUGGAACAAUUCGAGAUGCACACUCUGGAAAACUACCAGCAACACCAAGCCAUGCACAGCAAUGUUGCGGACGCCCCUCUGGUCCAAACAUAGUGUUCCUAAAGACCUAUUACGACAAGUAUACAGAAGUCACUAUUGCAUGCAAGCUAUUUCCAACAGAAAGAACAGGAAAGAGUUUCAAAGCAUACUGCUGUAAGAUGCUGAUGGUAGAAAUACAGCUUUUUGAGACUACCAUGCAUUGACAAUUGAGACUCUAGUUCAUCAACACAUCUGCAUUGAGACAGAUCCACACAAUUAUCAUUGUUUUCUUUUACAUAACAAAAGUAUAUGACUUUGUUUAGCAAGUGUUAGACUGCUAUGCUUUUAAUUUUUAAAGAAAAAAAUGAAAUGAAUACAUAGUUUUACUUAACGGAAUUUCUGAAUCAGACAAAACGAUGACUUUAAAGCAUAAGUUUUGUUUUGGAAGGAAUGAGAAAACUGGACAUGCAGGUUUAUCUUGAACUCUAUCAAUUGCUCCAUUCAUGAAGACCUUCAAAUAUCAAUUAUUUGAGAUACAAUAUAUUAUGAGCUGUGAUAUGUGAAAAUUUCUCCCUAGUAACAGCUGCAAUGCUGGAGUAUCAUCAUUCUAAGCAUCUGUGAACACAUGCCACAACAGCCACUCAUAAAUAAAAUAAUGCUCCCCAAUACGCAAAACAAACAAUACUGUAUAAUUCCACCUUUCAAAAUAAAUUGUUCCCUAAGAUCAAAUCAAGUUUAUUUUAACAUUUCACAAUACAUAUUGACUGCAGUUGAAUAGAUUUGGAUGAGUUAUUGCAAUAAAAGCCAGACAAAUCAUGUCAAUCAAAGUCAGGGCACCUGGACCAAUUGUAUGCUGCAUUUCCUUCUGAUAGCAACCCUUCCUUUCCGGUAGAGACAGUAGCUUUCUCCAAAUGUCUUAUGUUUAUAGAUGAUCGGGCAGAUGUAACAAUCAUCAAUAUAGACAACCAAUCUUUACGGAACUCCUGGUUAAGAAUCAUGUAUGAUUUCCAAUUAGGCAUACCAUCAUAAACAUGCCGCUUCUAAAUGCAUUCUGACAACAGUAAAAUGAAGUGAUAACAGAAGCAAUGAAGAAUAUUUCUAAAACUAACUCUCAUCAAAUGGGUAAAACAGUUGUCAAGCACAUGUACAUUAGAGAACAAAGGUAUUUAAAUGACACAGAAUAAGUUCAUUGCCCAAGGUUCCCACAGUAAAAAGGAACGAGUACAAGAGAACAUAGUUUUCAGAGUUAAUGGCCAAUAAAACAUGGCGCACAUAUUUGUGGACCAAAUGGAUGCAUAAGUUGGAAUCAUAACACAAAUAAAGUAUGUAUGUAUAUUACAUUUUAUAUAUAAACAAUUCCCUGUGGCUUCAUAUGUCAUUAACUAUGAACAAAUGCUACAUGACUAAAGUGACUACUUAACCUAAUACUAGCUUCACAAGCAAUAACUCAGCUAUUCUAAUUAUUAUUUAGUAUAAAUUUAUUCGUUCAUCCUUAAAAGGGAAAAAUAAGUGGCUUUUUAGAUUCCUUACAGAUAGGUCACAUGUGAUUGCAGAAAUAUUUUCACCCUGUGGCUUGGGUAUAUUCUCAAGGUGCUGGACGAUCUGCUGAAAGAGUGUUUUCAAGGUUGCAUCAAGAUCAAGAGCCACCAUUCCAGGAGUUCCCAGCAGAAACCGGAUUCUACCAGCACAGGAAGAGAGAUAUGAUAAUGCAUAACCUCGAAUUGCUGCAUCAAAAGAUGUAAAAUCUUUAAAAUAUAGUUCACUUAUGUGUGAAGUUUUUCUUGCAGUAAUAGAACAGCAUAGUAUAAUAUUUGCGCAGCAUGUGACUAUCAUUAUAGCAGUGAAAGGAACUAGAGAUAGAUAACUGCAUCAUUUGCCAUAGCAUCAGCAUUUACAGUCACUAUAUUUGGAAGAUUUUACCUCAAUAACCGGGAGUAGAGAUCUAGAUUUUUGCUACUAAAUUGGAAAGAAAAAUUUUUUUAUGAGGAUAUGAAAAAGGAGGUUUCUUGCUAAAAAAAACAAAGUAGAUACACUGAAAGCUUUUAGCUAUCAUUUACAGUCACUAUAUUUGGACGAUUUUACCUCAGUAAGAAAGUAGACCUACUUUGAUCUAGAUUUUUGCUAUUAGACUUUUUAUUGGAAAGUAAUUUUUUUUCUGAGGAAAUGAAAAAGUAGGUUUCUUGCUAGACAAAAGGCAGAUGAAUUGGAAGCUUUUAGCUAUCAUUUAGGCCUCCUUGAUAGGUUUAUGAUGUCAUAGAGCAGACUCCUGCCUUCUUUUCCAUGCUCCCCCUUUUUAAGGGCAUGUGUUUCAUUCACUCCUUAAAAGAUGCCUUUACCAUCCUUCAACAUUUGACACAAGGAAGGCCAACAUCUUAAAGGUUUAACAUUCUUCUAGACACAUACUCAGAGAUCUAUUUAUAUCUAUCUACUUAUAAUAUGCAUCUUCCAUACUAAAAGUAAACUUCAUUUAUUCACCUUCAUUAAAUGCUAGUUUGUUUACAUCAAAAAAGAGACUACCUGCAAUAUACUUGCGCACUAGACAGCAUAAAUGGUCCAUUCCAUCCAACAAGAACCCGAUAGUUGGAUCAUUUGGAUCCUGCAACAAAAUCAUUUCUGUCCAAGUUAAGCACCUUAUUAUGUUAUCUUAAUCACAAAGAGGCCUUUAGAAAUAAUAUAAUUCAAUUUGUUCAAUCAUUCAAAAGAAGCUGGAAAAAAGAAUACAACACAAAAGGAAAAUGUUAGCACAUCAAAUAAUCCCUUAGUUUGCAAGCGAUUCACACAUGGGAAGUAUAAACUAAAUCAACAUAUCUGAUUGGUUGCUGGCAGUUUAUUGUUAACAGUUUCAUUGUGGUUCCUAUUUUAUUGUUAAUGGUAGUUUUCCAUUUCAUGUUGUUGGAGGUUGUGUCUCCACCCUAUUUUAUUGUUAGUGGUAGUUUUCUAUUUCAUGUUAUUGGAGGUUGUGUCUCCACCUUUCCACUUUCUUGCUUUAAGGGUGGUUAUUCCACCAAGCUGUAGUUAAAAAGGAGUGAAGUUAAUAAAAGAGGUUGUUCAGAAUCUAUUCAAGUUUUUGAGUACUUAAAACUCAAGAGAUCUGCAUGUUCCCUCUAACGAGCCAGCACUACAAACAUAGGUCAAAAAAAGAAACCUUCAACCCAAGCACCUAGCGUACCUCAAACUAAACCAAACCCUUCAACACACCGUCCCAUUACUCGAUCCGUUUCAAGGGACCGUAUCAGAAAAACAAACAACAAAGUAGAACCAACAUUGAAACAUUAAGACUAGGGCAAAAACAAGGAAAAGAAAAGGAAACAACCUAGAAAGCCAAAAUAUCUUCAAGGUAACAGUUUAGUGACAUAAAGACCACAAACAUUACUUACUAUGUCAACUGGAACCAGCCGAGCACCUUUUGAUUUUGAUGAUGCAAUUCCUACAUGUUGAAAAUACCAAAUAACCUCACAUUGAGCCAACGCCAAUGCAGAAAAAACCAUCUGGGAGGAAGAAAAAAAUUAUUAGACAACACAUCGAGAAGAAGAAUAAUUAUAUUUCUAUAAUUUAUACAAAUAAAUGUGUUAGUUUUAGGACAAUAAAUUAAGAUGGUUGUGAGAGUAAGGUGUUAGAUUAUCCUCUUCAUGAAGCAUGGAAAUACAUAUAAAUUGAAACAAUGCCAAUAAAAGCUGCCUCACUGAUAACAACUUUGGGUAAUGGAUGUCAACAGCAUUACUAUUCCCAACCAGUCAGAAAGUUACAAGAAACAUUAUUUUCCAGGUCUCAAGAGCUUAUUUGGAAGGAGAAUCAUUUGAGUAUGUGGAAAGGAAAAAAGCUGUAGAAAGCUAGAAGCAAACUAGGAUAAAACUUUAAAAAGGAAAGGAUUCUUAAAAGAGCCUCGCACCAAUCAUACCUGAAUGUUUGGAGCCAAUAAACUUGGUUGAUCAGUGAAAAAGAGCACCAUCCUUCCAAUUUCUUGCUUUAACAGUAUUCUCCUCUCACGGUGUAUAGCAUCACAUGAUACCAAUGCUUGCUCAUGUACUUCACUGAAACCAUAAACCAAUUUAGCAUAUCAUAUUAAGGCUGAAGAUGGCAUGAAGAUCAGAAAACACAGAAAACAAUAGCUUUAAAAUGCUAUGGUAAUUAUCAAGGAUAUUUAUUAAGUGCCUGAAAACAAAGAGAGAGUGAAUGUUUUCAUGCCUUGAAAUUCUUGGGAUUGCUGAUAUUAUAUGGAUCAACACAAUUCACAGUCUUCCCAGUGAUCAUAUAUAGGUUUACAUAUUGGAUUUUAAGCUAAGUCUUCUGUACUUCUCUGUGUCUUUCUGAUUUCUAUUAGUCAUCAUGCUCAAGGACUUGCACCAAUUAUUAGAACUAUGAACUGUAAUCUAAAACAACAUGAAUGGCAAAGGACACACUUCUAUUCCCGUUCCCUCUACAGCUGUACUUUCCUCUCUUUUUCCCAACGUAUACUAACUUUCUGUGAACUUGCAAUGUGAUUUUAAACAUGGCAUUACCAAGAACUUGAUUUUCGGUUUCCCUAUGAACUUGAUCUUCAACCAAGUACACAUUUACAUGACAUUUUUAAGAACUUGACUUUUGUGUCCCUCUCACUUCCAAAUUCGUGAGGGGAGCUAUAAUGGUAAAACCGCAGGACCUAUUUAGUCCUCCACGUUGAAAAUCCAAUGACAAUUUAACAAAAUUCUCCAGCAUAAUUAUACAUAUAGAAGGUUAGAACAUGCCAAUUAAAUAAAUAAAGCUACAAAACAAUGAUGUCACCGGGAAUAAAGAAAAAUUAUCAAAAUGAUAAGUUAUCCCUCUGCAAUUUUUAAUCACAGCUCAUAAUAAUAAAAUGUGAAUAUAGUUCAGGUCCUGGCACUCAGACAUACCUUAUCAUUUUCUCAACUUGUUUGGCCACACUAUAUUCCAAAUCUGCUUCUUUUUGUUUGGUCCGCCCUGAUUUUGCCAUCUUCUUUGACUCUAAUAUCCGAGGCAAAACAUAUAACUGAUAAUCCUCAUGCAAUAGAACAUACUGCAUGCCCAAAAUUGCAAGAAGAGUCAGCUAAUAAAAUUUAAAAAUAAGAAAUAUAGGUUCAACAUCAGACAGUAAAACUUACCUCAUCCCUGAAUAAUGUAAGAACUAAAUUUUCCUUCAGUACAACCUGAAGACCAUUAGACCAUUAGGGAAAUAUAAGCAAAACAGAAGGACAGAAAAAGGAAUAAAUGAAAUUAAAAUAGGUGCUUAGAAAAAUGAAAAAGUCAGAAAAUUAUAACAGCCAAUCACUUUCCAGCAGAAUAAUCCAAAACUCAAAAAGGUGUACAGAUAGUUUUACUAAGAUUUCAAUAUGUCUAAACUCAUCCUUCUCAGCUGUAUGAUAUGAAUAACUUAUUCGCUAGUAUAUGCCAGGAAAAAUUAUAUUCAGAUGAUAAUUAUUUCAAAAAAAAGAAGCCAAAUUACAUGAGUCAUAAUACAGGUCCAUGUCCAGAGAACCCCACGCGGCUGCCCUUAUGCUCCUUGCAUAAGGGAAAAUACUACUGUUAUUGCUUUAAUGAAGAGAUGUUGAGAUUAACCAAUCGUUAAAGUGGUUGAGGUACCAUUUUUAGGAAAUAUUUUGGUUUAUAUCAAUCAACACAUUGUUAAUGCUAUAUGUUAAUAAUCCAAUUUUAUAAGAUUUUGCUAUGAAAAUGCUAUUAAAAAGAAAGGAUCAGUUGUAUCGAUAUUUGUUCUCUUGCCCAUUAGUAUACAUUCCAAUCUGAACUGCAAACUUGUUAGCACAAUAAGAGACAAAAGAACCAAAUGAAUUAUCAGGUGGUUACCAGAGCUAUAUCAAUGCUAGUGACACGAAGCAGCUCAUCAGGACAAACUAGAUACCCAAGUAACACCCACUCCCUAUAAGCAGUAACAUUUGCCAGAUCUUGGGCUCUCUGCAGUAUUGAUAAUGAUGUCAGAUAUGCAAUUGCAUUAAACACUGUAUUUGAUAGGAAAAAGAAAAUUCAAAAUUGCUAAAAUGAUAUAGAACAGGAAUUAUCUGGAAAGUUCAAGCAUCUUAAAAUAUCUCAAAUUCUUUCCAAAAUAACAGUAUUUACCAUCGGAUGAGCAGAAUUUGUAAGAAUGUCUGGAUAUCGAGGAUGAUAUGGACUUAAAAAUCCCUCAUUUCUCAGCUUCCUUGUGUCUGUGGAUAGGAAAAUAAUAGGACCCACAGCCUCUAAAACCUGGAAAUACAGAUUGGAAGAAUCAACCUAAUUAUCUCCAACAUAAAGACACGCAACUCUUGAAGUUGAAGCUUUUGGAAAGAUAAAGUUCUGCAACAAUCAUUUAACAUUUAAGCGAUAUGAGCCACCACAACACAUAAAACUAGACAAAAGCUUUCAAUGUAGUGGCAUUUAUAUAUGUAGUAGAAUUUUAUAAAAAGAUAAUCCUAUAUUAGAAACUUAUGUCCCUACUUACAACUUCCAAGCACCAUUUCAGGCAUUGUUAAUAUUUUUUGUUCCUUAUGGAUAGCUGUUAUAAACAUUUACAUCAAAUAGAAUCCUUGCUACAAAUAUGGGUUACAUGGAGAUGGUGACCUAACAUCCACAAUCUUAAAAAAGUAGAAUGAUCUUUACUACCAGAAUUUUAAUAAGAUGGUUGACUAAUUUUUUCAUCAUUUCCAAAAGAAAAAAAUAGCAACCACUUUUGAAAGAAAUAGAUUGGAAUUUGAUAAGAGACAAAUCAAUAUAGAUAAUGAAAAAAGCAAAAAGGCAGGGGGAGAUUUCCUCACUACGUGGGCAGGCCCACUUUCAGAAAUCCAUGCCAGCAGCUAAUACUUUUUAAAACUAGAAGAAAACUUCUGGCUACAACACAAGGAUACUACAAAGAAUAUACUUAGACAAAAUGGAGCAGAAACAUAAUAAACAAUGGUUAUCUACUUAUCUUGUUAAACAUCAAAAAUAAAUGUAAAAGAAAACGAGGUACAUUGAAAAAAUCAUGUUCAUAAGAAAAAGCAUGAAAACAACCUCUCCAAUACGUGGGCUGACAAAAUUGAGAUCUUCUUGUAAACCUUUCAAUGGUGGAUCAUAAGAAUCUAUGAAUUGAACCAACCUGAAAUUCAGGGAAAGAAAAUUACCUGUGUUACUUGCAAAUAAGCAAGAAUAAGAAUCAUAUGCAAAUUGCCUUUAAAGAAGAUUCAAGUAAAAGAAGUAUUAACCAGAUAAUUAUGACUUAGCAUAAAAGAGGAGAGGAACUUUGGUGAAUACUAAAGAAGAUGAUUUUUCCCGCAUAAUAAAUAUCAUGUGUUAAACAAACUAACUAAAUAACCAGCAUUAGGGCAUAAAUACUAACUCGAUAGUAAAUCUUUUAAACUCAUGUCUUUAUACAGCAUUUCCUUAAAGCUCAAGUCCUCUAAUCACAGCAGCAAAAUAGAUAAAAGAAAAUGUAUGUUUUUAUAUCAAAAGUAGCAAUAAAGUGAUACCCUCUAAACUCCCAGAGAAAAAAAAAGAAGGAAAUAUCCCUCAAGCAUUUACGUAUACUGGCUAGAAAUCAAUUACAUGUAUUGCAACAUACUUAGAAGCACACUGCAUGGUUAAAAGGUGGUGAUUGAGUUCAUACCGAUGAUAAAAAUCACAGUCCCUGUCAUUUCUUGACAUGGCAUGCAAAAGAUUAUACACUUGCAGCAUCAUUUUCCUUGGUAACUGUUAUUAAGGCAUCAAUUCCAAGGCAUCAGUGAAACCACAGCGACAAGUUUUUGCAUACAAAUACUUGUUUAAGAAAAUAGCUACAGGUUCUCAAAUAAGUAAUAUCGAUUCUCUGGCUCAUGCACACUUGUGUGUGUGCGCAAGGAGACUUAGCGAAAACACUUACCUUCUCAGCUAAAAGAUUGACACGAACAAAGGAACAGAAGAGAUCCAUAAAUGCAUGUAGUAUAAGGGAAUUUUGAUGAGGCUGCAAAAAGACUGUACCAAGUUACUAGAGAUAUAAUACAGAAAAAAAGUCAUCAUUUUUUCCAACUUCACCUGGAUAACAAAAUAUGAAGACUUUUCAAACAAAUGAGGAAGGAUACAACAAAAGCCUAUUAGCAGGACCUAGUUAGAUUAGAUUCAUUUUAGGACUCAUGUCACUUUAUUUCACACCUCCUAUAAGGUCAAACACCAAAAUGCAGGUGGACCAAGUCAGGUAUUUUUUAAAACCAACAAAAAACUUGCAAUAUAGAAGAUUGAGUUCAAACUUACCAGCAAGGUGAUAACUGUACUACUCAGGUCCAAUAUGAGUCUCAAAGCUUGUUCUCGGAAUUCCAUCAAAUCAAGAAGUAGCUAAUCCACGGAAAACAAAUCAAUCACUAUUACAAGUAUGCAAGAAAUGACCAUAUUAAUCAUCUAAUUAUACAUAAAAAAGAAACCUAACAAUAUAUUUGAAGACCAAGAAAGUUAACGUUACCCAGUCUAUAUUACUAAUAAGAUGCCAGCAAGGCGGUAUGUAACUGAAAUUAUGCACUGACACAUAUAGGAACAUGGCUGUGAAACUAGGAAGUGAAUGAAACUUUGACAGGUUAUAAACGCCUUUAUGAUAAUAUAAAAGUAGGAUUAUCUUUUGCAGGGCAGCAAGAAACUCCUCACCCGAACCCACAGUUCCAAACUCUGCAAAUGAACUUCUGCACUAUCACUCAAAGCAUCCAAACCAGCCUUAUCAACCUACACCAACGUUUACCAAGACAAUAGAAAAGUCUGAUACUCAGCAAUAGAAAAGAGCCACCAAACUUCAAUGUAUACCAACAUGUAAAAUUCAAUUCUUACACGCUCAAGUUGCAAUUUGCUGAAGUGCUCUGGGAACUUUUUCGAGAGCAAUAUACAAAUCCUUGGAUGGUUGGGAAACACACCCGCUUUCCAAAAUGCUUCUGAAAAUGCAUGACCUAUAGGAUCCGGGUAGUCCAAGAUUUGGUUUAAUCUAUACAUUUUGGCCAUGAGGCCUUCUGCAACUUCAAUUAGUUGCCCUACCCACUGCAUGUUCAAGCCCUUAUGGGAUCCACCACCCAAACUCUGGACCUGUCCGUCUGAAUUCAUGUAUCUAGAGCUCGUAGAUGUCAUAGAAGAAGUGGUGUCAGGACCCAAGUAUUCAGUCCACCUUGAUGGACCCUCCCAUUCCCUCGAUCUCCCAGUCGUAGGUGAUAAGGAUAAAUCUUGGGAGAAAUAAUGUUGCCGCGACUUCGCCAUGAACAAAUCAAGUCACUCAAAAUUACUGCAAAUGGAAGCUCGAAUUAAGACCAUAAUUGUAAAUAGUCCCACUACCUGCACUGUAAAUAUCUUCUUUACUCUUUUUCUUUUCACCUCAUUCAAUGUAAAGUGAAGAAUCCAAUGCCUUAAUUCAGCCCAAAAUGAAGAAAGGGAAAACACUAGUAGCAGAAUAGUUGUAGCUUUUAAUCUUCCAAAUUACCCAAUUACCCAUUUAUCAAAGGUUUGGAUGUACCAACUUUCCCUUUACUAACCACACACAUGCUUAAGGAAGAAAAUGAAGUAGAAAGACACAUGUACUUCAAAUUCAAAGUUAAAAAAACCGAAUAAUUUUGGUUUUGGUUGGCGUAGAGCAAAUUUCAAAACAAAACAAAACAAAAUUAAAAAAGAUCCCAUCAAGGAAAAACCAAAACUACCCAAAAUUAAAAAAGCGUGGCGAGUUGACAAGAAUUUUACCACAGCAUUUGAUUGAAGCUCAGCGGUGCUUCUUCUUUACCACAUUUUGUGAAGAAACCAGACACAAGGUCACAGCAACAAACAAACUCUUUCUUGAGAAGGAAACCAAGAGAAAGUAAAGUUGGGGUUAGGCUUGAAAAGAGAGGGUUUCUUUCUUGGUCUUUAAAGAGCUUCGAGUCCAGAUCUGAGAGAGACAAAGAGAGAGAGAAAUGGUUACUCGGUAGUUGGUUUCUUUUUGUUGUUUAUGAAGGUAGCAGAGCUGGAAUUCUUGAAUCCUGAAGAAAAUGAUUUUUCCCAAUUUGAGUGGAACUUUUAGAAGGUUCCGCGACCUUUUAUUUUCUCUUUCGGAUUUCUUUUCCUUUCUUUCCUUGUCCUUUUCUUUUUCUUUUCUGGUAACAGCAAAUAUAAAUGCAUUGCACGUAUAUAGCAGCAGUGCGUAGUCGGCACAGAAGAGAAAUUUACGGUUACUCAUGACGUGGCGGCCUUUUAUUUGCCAAGAAAAAUCUUACUCGGCGAGUAUUUACAUGCUGUAAACUUCAUCCGGUUAUAGUUAUUAGUUAAUUAGGUUUUCAAGGCAUGGAGUAUUAAAGGUCACAUAUCUUAAUCGGAUCAUAUAAAUAUAAAAUAUUAAUAAUCUAAAUAUGAUACAAUGUAAUAAAUAUAAAUAUGAUCUAAUUAAUUAAAUUUAUUAUAAUUUAAAUAUAUAUAAAUAUAUUAUAAAACACGUCACGAUUACUAUAAUUAUUAAUUUUUAUUCAACACAACACUAUUUAAUUAAUUAUGACAAGAAAUAAAACAAGGGGUCAAUUAUAUGCAAAUUAAUCACAAAAAAUCUACCAGAAAAUAUACGAAGAUGGUAGGGGCAUGAGUAGUUGAUUAAAUCCCAAGCGUAUCAGUGGAGCACAUGAAUUUGGUAGGUCCGCUCCUUUCAAUAUAAUUUUAUAAACAUUAUUAUUUUUACAAUUAUAUAUAAAAUAUAGUUUGACUUUCUGUUUAGUGGGAGGAGUUAAGCAGUGCGUAUAAUAGAAGGAUUAGGUCAUUUCGGCUAUGAGGAGGCCGACAUACUUGGCUUCGACAUUAAGCCACCAUCAUUAUCCUUUUUUUUACUGUUAAUUAUGACUGUACGAAUGGAUCCAUUAAUAAACAAAAUCGAUCUAAUGUAUCACUUAAGAGAUAAUAUUAAUCAGUUUUACCAAUAUCGAUCGAACAAAUUAAAUAAUCGAAAUCGGUUGAAUGAAUUACUAAUGUUUCAUUUAAAUAUGAUAUUAUUAUUGAUAAGGACAGUUGGAAAACCUACCAAAGGAAAAUGGGCAGUUGAUAGAGAAUUUAUUUGUAAAGUUGAGUUUAUUAAGUUUGCUAAAUCAAAUAUUGUUGAAGAAAUGUCAAGAAAGGUUUAAUUUUAAGUAGUAGGAUUGCUUCCUAAAACAGAGUGGUUACGUGAUAAAGACCACAAACUUAAUUUUUUAACUAAGUUUCAAAGAAUCAUUGGACUCUUGGUUGACUGAUUGAACUCGUCCUGGGGUAUGGAUUUCCAUUGGUUCCUCUUCAAUUCUGUUUCCUAGGAGUGGUUAGCCUUGGACCAAGAUAUCUAAACUGUGCAAAAAGGAGAAAUGGGGUCUGCUUUCUGCUCACAUUUUAGCAUGUGAUUGUCAACAGAUUCAUUGUAAAGUAGAGGAAUAAAAAACAGGGAAAGUCUUGGGAAGAGUUCACCAAAUGGUAGGUAAGAUGUACUUUUACUGACGAUAUGGUGGUAUGUUAUCAAACAUAUCAUUGAUCUUCUUUCGUCCUUGUGAUGUCACUGAAACUUAUUUUUCGCGUCAGAAAAGAACAAAAAAUGGAAAUCCCCCCUUCAACGAUUUCUGACAGUAACUAUCACAAAUGGAUGAUAGCUUGUUGAUGAGUUUAUCAUAACAUUAGUAGAAGUAAUGAUGAAAAUAGUUUUGUGUAGGCAAAUGAUAGCUACGAAUGAGAAGGAAGUGGCAACAAUGUUGAUGGCGGCUGCUGGUGCUAAUGAUGCAGAGAUAGUGUUGAUGGUGGUGGCCAAAGCAUCAUUGCAAAGGUAAGCUUGAUAAAAUUAGUUCCUGUUACCGUUACAAAUCCCUGGACUCAUGGAAGUGGUAAGACAUUAGUAGCUCCAGAGCACCGACGGAAGACAGCAUACCCAUCAAUACAUUAUUUGCUAGGCUAUGACUUCAAAAUGCAGUAAUUGAUAUCAAAACUAGUUCAUCAAAAUUGACAAAUCCAAUACAUCAGUUAAGAUAAAUUUUACAGAACAGCUAACUAAAUUUCACAGAAGGAACAUAUGGGGCUGCCAGCUGCAGGAGAGGCAGAAAAAGGGUGGGAAGGGGCCUAGGAAGGACUCAGGAGGCAGAAUGAGGAAAGUGAAGGCCUUCCCUGAUUUAAUCCAUGAACAAAAAGAUUUAGUGUUACAAGGAAGUACUGUAAUUCAGUACACUCAUUUAGGCUAUAAAUGGCAAGGUGCACGUUUCCAUUCUGGCUAAAAAACCAAGCAACCUGGAAUCACAGGCUUGGUUGCAACCAUUGUAAAAACAGCUUGGUGGCUUCUGUCUUGGCCACUUCAGCUUUCAUCUACCUGUAUUGUUUUUUACUCUUACCUUUUCUUUAAGGAGUUAUUCCUGGGACAUGAGGGACAGGUGGCUUGGGCUUCUUUGUUUUCUCCACCAUUAUCGCUUGAGUAGUUAGAACUAUCCCAGCAACAGAGACGGCAUUUUGUAGGGCAAACCUUGAAACUCGACAAGGAUCUACAACUCCGGCAUUGAUAAGAUCUUCGUAGCUUCCUGACAUUGCAUUAUACCCUAUUUGCCAAUCACACGUUCUAGUCUUCUCCACAACAACGUCUCCAUCAAUGCCUGCAUUAGUUGCAAUUACUUUUAAAGGUGCAAGGAGUGCCUGCAGUUAGCAAACAAAUUGUUAAAAUUUAAUCCUUUAUAAACUACAAAAGUAAGCAUCGAGCAAUCUAAUAACACUAAAAUGAAAAAAGGAAGAAGCAAUAAACUCAAAGACUUUAAUUUUAAUAUAUAUAAACAGACAGUUGACUCCAACAUAUAAUAUCUUAAGGGAUAAGAUGCAUACUUGUGCUACAAUAUCAGCACCAAUCCGUUCAUCUGAGUCUUCCAUAGAAUUCUUUAUCAUGUGAAUCUGCUCUGAAAGAUGUAUAUAAGUGGCACCACCUCCGGGUACUAUCCCUUCAUCCAUGGCAGCAAAUGUGGCAUUCUUUGCAUCUUCAAUUCUUAGUUUACGAUCUUCAAGUUCCAUCUCAGUAUGUGCUCCUACCUACAGUUAAGAUGCACAUUGUUUAACCAAGUUGAAGCAGAAGGAGUCAUGGGAAUAGUAAAACAUUUAAUUCUGCCUUUCUAUCUCAGUGUCUGCUAUUUGUCAUGGUUGCAAACCUUAAUGAUUGCCACACCACCAGAGAGUUUAGCAAUUCUUUCCGAGAGCUUUCUUGACAUGUAUGCACUAUCAGUCUCAGCUAGAUCCUUUUUGAUCUGCAUAAUUCUUGCCUGGAUUUCAGCUUUAGUAGAAGGAUCAGCAACUAUGGUUGUGGAAUUGCUUGUUAUAGUCACUUUUCGUGCAACACCAAGCUGAUCAGACGUUGCACCAGCAAGUGUCAGUCCCAAAUCUCCAGAAAGAAAAUCAGCCCCUAAUGAUGUAGAAGAUGUCAGUUUGCCAGCAUAUAAAACUGAAUGCAACUUUGAAGAAACACUUGUCAUAUUGCAACGCAUAUAAAACAAUCUCCAUGAGCAUAUCAAAAAGACAUUCAUACUUUCAGAUGAUAAAAUGAGGCACUGGAGAAAUUUAGGGGAAUUCAAUGUCUAAAUUAGACGAUAUAAUAAUGAAAAGGGAAAAGUAGUAUGUAAAACACAACAGUGCACCCAGAUGAGUUUUCAUAUAAAAUCUUUUGUUAAAGAAGACACAGCCGAUCAUCAGUGGAAUUAUAUAAAGCAUAUAUGAAAAAGAAGUUUGAUUAUAGAAGACAUGGCUGAUAAUCAGUGGAUUUGUAUAAAGCCUGCAUAAAAGCUAUUUAACCUGUCAUAAGGGCAAUAUCUUGCAACAGGGCUUUCUUUCCCUCCCCAAAUCCUGGACAUUUGACAACAGCAACAUUAAGUACACCUUGCAUUUUGUUCACAACUAGUGUUUCCAGCACUUGCAUGGAGAUAUCCUCAGCAAAGACGAGCAAAGGGACACUCAGUUGCAUAGUCUUUUCUAGUAAAGGAACAAUUUCUUUGACAGUUGAAAUCUUUUGAUCAGUUACAAGGACUUUAGCAUUGUCAAACUCCACAAGAGACUUAUCCUGAUUGGUAAUGAACUGUGGUGACAUAUAUCCCUUGUCAAUCUGCAGAUAGGAAAUAUUAAAUCUAAGACUAAAUAAAAUUUCAAUUUUAGCAAAAAUAUAACUUGUGAUGUUAUGCACAAAUCAAUGGUUUCUUUUAGAACUUCUAAAGUACUGGCCAGCAAGAGUCAGCUUUACCACCUUCAUUCCUUCUUCAAUUAUCACAGAGGUUUCAGAGGAUGAGGAUGACUCAACAGAAAUUACUCCAUCAGGGCCAAUCUUGUCUAUAGCUUCAGCAAUCAAGUUCCCAAUAAAUUCAUCAUUACCAGCAGAGAUUGAAGCCACAGCUGUGAAAAGAAUGAAGAGUUCCAAAUUAGCAAUUUUUCCCAAAAGCGUACAAUUCAUUGAGCAAAUCCAUAUGAAACAUAAUUGACAACCUUUUAUAUCCUCCCUCCCUUUCACUGGCAAACUUUUCUUCUUCAGGGCCUUGACCAAUUCUUUUACAGUCUUAUCCAUUCCCUUUUUCAGAGAAACAGGAUUAGCUCCAAAAGAAACUGCCAACAACCCAGACUUGAUCAUGGCUCGGGCUAAAAUGAUUGCAGUGGUAGUACCAUCACCAGCCAAAUCAUUCAUUUUACUUGCGACCUGCAUUCAGGCACAUAAAACUUACAUGUCUCUCCUUGUUUAUUUCCCAAAAUAAAUCAUACAAGCUUAGGGAGGAAGAUCUAGCAACCAUGAAUGACCUCUUGAAUUAGAGUUGCUCCUGCAUUCUCAAUUGUAUCGGAAAGCUCUAUAGCCCGAGCAAUGGUGACACCAUCAUUAACUACUUUCAGUGUCUCAGACUCACAAAGAACAACAUUGCGUCCUGUAUGGUUCACCCAAAAUGGAUUAGCAACUCAUAUUAAGUAUGCAGCACCGCCCAUAAUGAAACUGAAAUUCCACAUCCUUAAGAUAUAUCAUUUCUUCAAUUGGUUCUGCAUCAUAGGCAGUGUAAAGCAUGCCACGUCUUGUCUAAUGCCCAAAGGGCAUAAAGGCUUUACACUAAAGGAAGCAUUUUUAUAGGAUAUAUCAGACAAGUCCUCCGGUCAACAUUUGAUUUAAGAAAGAAUUACACAAAGAAAAAUAAUUGAGCCUUACAAGAAAGGUAAAAGAUUCUAUUCUUAAGCACCCUUUAACUAAAGCAUUCCCUCUGAUGAUGUAAUUACAACUUCCAAAAUCCUUGUAAUCCUGUUUGAACCUCUGCUCAGGAAGCAACUAUAACUCAACGAAAUUGAAAAGAAAGGCAGAGAGCACCCAAUUGAAGAAAAAGGCAAAAGCAAGAAGAGCCAAGUACCUCGAGGUCCCAGGGUGACAGAAACAGCAUCAGCCAGCUUAUCAAUCCCAGCUUGUAAUGCCUCUCUGCAAUCUCUCCCGAAAGAUAUCCUCUUUGGACCUGCUCUCACCACCAAACUCCCAACCAUCAGCGGUUUUCUCAACAGCCCACUUCCUCUUCUACUCCCAUCAAAGUUCUGCAACGGUUCCCACAUCAUCAUUGAACGUAAACAUGCGUAGAAGAAAGAACAGGCAUAAUUAGAGAGACAGAGGGACUUACAGUUACAGAGAAGAAAGGGAUUUGAGGGAUUAGAGAAAGUGAGAACGAGACAGACAUAUCCCUUCAGCCUUCAAAAAUGUUUCGUGGCUCUUCCUGGUUUCAUAAUUUAGUCUUGGAGCCUUGAGAGGCUUUAAAAGGGUUUAAGAAAUGGUAAACGCGACUCGGGCGAGUCCAGUAACCAGUACGGCGCCUAGUUAAAACGAUUCAUAAAUAUCGGGAAAGCCCCAUGGAAUAAUUAAAAUUAUAAUAGCAAGGGUCCUCGAAAAUAAAUUUAUAUUAGAAGAAUAAUUCUGCAAUACUGUGCAAAAACAUUACUUGGUAUGCAUUAUACUAAGUAUUGCCUUGUGCUGCCUCUCUCAUCAUCUUUUCGCUGCCAUCAUUUGGAUAAGGUAUUCGUUAUCUUUCAAAUAACGUAUUCUGAGUUUUAUUAUUUAAUAAGAUACUCGAACACUGUAUAAGCACGUAAUCUAUAUUUUGCUUUUUACCUCAACUUGUUUAAUCGUUAAUGAAGCAUCUUGUAAAAUGCUGACCAGCACCAUUUCCAUCACCAAAACCCAAAUUUGCCACAACAGUGAUAGAUAAAUCACUUCCAACCAAAGAUCAUUAUUACUUGAUCUAAGCUUUAAGAAAACAUGACACCCAAAUCAAAACCCAAACUAAGCGGGCAUGAAAGUAUAUGGUCUGAUAGAAACAUCAACAAGAAAGCUACAUUUCUCAACCAGUUGGCUUCCCGGAUGUAGCAAUUAUCCCUCUCUGCAUAGCAUCCCUCUCAGCAAAAUGGCCAGGGCAUCUGGUCAGUGCUUUGAAUCUUCUUCCUCACAGAACUUGGAGUAUUCUUCCGAGCCCAUCAAGUUCUUCAACUCCCCGGCGUCAUUCAUCUCAACCUUUAUAAUCCAUCCAUUCUCAUAAGGACUUGAGUUAACCUGAACAAAGAUUGCAGAUGGUAAGCAAGAGUGAAUAUUACUAAAAUGAUGCCCUAUACAGCUAUUAAAUGACAUAACAUCCAAAUGAUUGUUUAAGACUGUAGCUCAUUGCAAAUCGGUUGUCAUAUUGACCUCUGGUAGGUAGGUAAAGGUAGCUAAGCUCAGUAAACAAGUGAAAAAUGAAGAAUGGAGAUUUGGGGUGUCUGACCAAAGUUUUGGAUUGGAGCAAUUAACAGGAUGUUGGUUCUAACAUCCUCAAGAAAUGGAAAAAUGGAACUUAAGAGGCAUAGAUGUAUGGCAUAACAGAGGCAUUCUGGCAAAGACACAAAUAAUAAGGUGCAUGCUCACAAACACACACAUAAAGGAGGACACUUCAUGCGAUGCAAAUGAAAAACCAGUUCAGAAGGCACACUUGCCCAACUAGUAUAAUUGACUUAAAAAAAAAACAAGAAAAAAUUGAAAGAAAUAGUAUAGAAUAGGACACAAGUGCUAACCAAAGCAGGAGAGUUGCUGAGCUCUUCAUUAACUUCAACCACUUUUCCUGAAACUGGAGAAUUAACAUCACUGGUAGCCUUGACACUUUCAACUGCACCAAAACUGCCACCUUGCUUUACAGUAGCUCCCACUUCAGGUAAUUCAACAUACACAACAUCACCUAAAUGAUCUUGAGCAUGAUCAGUUAUACCAAUUGUGGCAGAGUUACCAUUAACCUUCACCCACUCAUGAGAAUCAGCAUAUUUUAGAUCGUUUAAAACUGCAGGAAUAUAGAAGAGAGGCAUUAGCUGCAGUAACAUGAACAACAACCUAUAACAAGGGAAAAUAGACCAAGUAGCAGCAACUCUAGACACAAAUAAAACUGCAAAUUGCAGCUGAUCAUGGGAAAUAAAUGUCCUUUUCAUAGAACAUACUUACAAUAAAUAUCAUAAUGAUAUUCAUCAUGUACUUAAACAAAAUUUCUCCAUUAAGGACUUGUGCUCUUAGAUGCUUUCUUGCUCUUAUCAACAAACAAUGAAUCAUCCUUCCAUAGAGAGCAAAGUUUGAAGUUAUGUCAUGGUGAACACAGUCACAUUCAGCUAAGGGUUUUCAAUUCCAGAUGUAAAGCUCAAUGAUACAGAUAAGUCACCACUGAACUAUAAAAUUCAGAAGUUCAUAACUUUAAGAUAACAGAUAAUAUACCCACCACAGGUUGAGGACAGAAGCAAAGAUCCAAGAAUAUCACUUGACUUUGUUUAACAACAGACAGAACCUGAUGGCUAUGGGAAUAGGUAUAGCAUGAUGAAUCAUUUAUAAAUGAGGGAUUGAUAAAUAAUCCAAUCUAUAUACGUUACACCCCAUUAAUCAGUUGCCAGCUACACCAACCCUUGCUCUCAGUUCUAUUUGUUGUGUUAAACCAGCAGCUGAUAUUAAGAAAAGUGAACUGCACAGAGGGAUGAAAGUGGUUAUCGGAAGUAGUGCAUACAAAGGUGCAUAUAAGUUUCAGUUGGUUGCCCUGCUAUUUCCUGGUUUUGUGAGAAUCUGUUUUUCAUCUCCAAAUAAGGGAAUGAUCGGGACAAUUUCUAACAUCAUUAUUCUCACGAGCAAUGCACCAUGCAUCAACCACCUGCACCAAUAUUUGCCAGCUGCCACUAUUCCCUCCACCACACUAACCGUCAUCACCAACUGACUCCCCUCACUCCUAAUACUCUAGUGCCAAGUAUUAAACGUGUUUCUAACUCUACAAAUGCUCUAUAGAGAACAAAAAUGAAUGCUUUAGGCCCCUUUCUUAAUCUCUAAUACGUUUUCUAAAAUCAAAAUUGAAAGAAAAAGUGUAAUAACCCCGAAUCAAUGACUACACCAGAUUGAUCAGGAACGAAAUCCUAGAUUAGGCAAAUUUGGGGAGACAUAUAUCUAUAAUAAAACAGAAAUCUAAAAACUCUAACACUAUGCAUUAGCAUAAGAGAAGAACAACCCAGUCAAAUAAAAAAUCAAAUCGUUUUUCCGUACAGGUAAAAUCUUCGAUCAAUCACAGAAGUGAGAUCCUAAUUUCCAUCAACACCCAGAAAACCGCUUUCCCGUAUCAGCAUCCUUAUGAUCAUUACACAAACAUAAGAAACCAUGAAAGCAAUAAAAAGAAGACAGACAUAGAGAGCGAGAAGAAAAGUUAAGUGGGGGUAAAUGGCUUACCGGUAGAAAACCCUCUAUGGAACAUAGAGAUCCUGAGGUAAGAAGCCGCCCUUGAAGCCCACAACAUUCUUGAAGCCAUUCUAAUGUAAAUCUCAAACAGCAACGAACCCUCAACUCUAGCAGAUUUGUACUUGUACGUGUUGUGUGGUUGUAGUGUUAUGUUUCAACACAAACUGCAAGCUGCUUCUCUCCUAAGUGGGUGCAACUAUAGAGUAUUGUUUUGUUUUGCUUUUAUUGUUAUUAUUAUUAUCAUUAUUUUAUAGAGUACAUAUUUUGGUGGGGGGGUUGGUGGGUGUAUUUUCUUUUAAUUUUUAUUUUAGUUUUUCUUUAUAUCAUUGGGUAAGGCCGUGACUAUUGUAACUCUAGUUUACAUGAGAAACAAAUAUUGGCAAUAUGUUAGGCAAUAAAUAAGGAACAGUGGGAUCUUUGAGGAAAAGUGGAAGCAAAGAAAGGGCAUAGAUGGUUAGCGGGUCAAUGUGUCAACAAGCCCACUUGUCUUGUUGGGAGGUCGGUAGGAGCUGCCUCUGCCCUCGGCUCAUUGGAUGCCUUCUGCCUCACCCUUGUCACUUCUCCUGCUGAUUUAUGCUUUCGUUCAAUAUUUAGUAAGAUUAUGAGGAAUGUUCACUCGAUCAAUUCAAUCGACUGAAUUCAUUAGGAAUGUACAGGAAUGUGUAUUCCAUCAAUCAUCGAUUUGAUCAAUUGUACUUAUUAACAAUGUGUAGAGAUCUAUUGAUUGAAUUUAUUAGGAAUGUGUAUUAAGUCAAUCAUCAAUUCGAUGAUCUAUUGAGCUUAUCAACUUGAACGAUUGAACUUAUUAAGAAUGUACAAGGAUCAAUCCAUUGAAUUUAUCAUCAAUGUAUUCGAUCAAUCAUCCAUUCGAUGGAUUGAACUUUUCAAGAAUGUGCAUAUAAGCAGCAACAUGUCCUGAUAAUUCUACCAAUCAUAAAAACAUUUUCUUUCUAUUGUAGCAGCAAUUCACAAAGUAGAAAUUGAGAACAUCAAUUUUAUUGCCAAAUCAACCUGCAUGGACCAUGAAAACAUCCCAACUUUUGCUUCUCAAAUGAUACUUUUGAUCAGUAUAUUGUGAGUAAGGAUUAACUUAAAGAACAUGCUAACUUGGCCAACUGACCAAACAAAAUCUUACAAUCAUGUAACAAAUGAGACCUUAAAACCAUUUUCUUCCUUUGAUUUCUUGAACAAGGUUUCAUCAAAUCAAGCCGUUCUCUGGAAUAAUACUUCCCUUCCUGGAAAACAAGACAAAGGAGCGAAAAAAUCACCAUCCAGCAAUUGAAAAUAUAGCAUAGACAGCAUGGACAUUUCCUCUUGACAACUCAAGUAAAACCAUCAAAUAGACACGCAAAAUGGAAAAGGAAGAAAAUUGAGAGAUUAAGUCUUUCAAAUCACUAAACGAACAACAGAUAUUAAUUGCAUAAAUGAAGCUGCCUAUUGUCUUAAGCCUCAACAUUUUCUUGAUCUAGUGCCUUAGUACACAAGAGAGUCAAGUAAGUAAUGAAGGAAGACUUUGCUGAUCACAUAGGCAAGUGCAUUUCGAACCGAGAGCAGCUUGUUAAAGUAUAGAUAUAAAUUAUAUUGCAAGGCGAUCAAUGGUUAUGAAAGUAAGAUAGCAUAAUCUUAGUAUACAAAGAUCAUAUCAUCGUACUAAUGUCUCGUAGGCAGCCAUCUAAAAGCUUUCAGAUUUCUACAUUAACCCAGAAUUCAGACUGGUUUUUUGGCUGUCCUGGUAUGUCCUACUUCAAAUGUACUUAUAUCACCAGUUCUAAUUCCAACACGACGAACACUUGCUUUCAACAUUCAAGCUCCUACUCAACCAUGACAAUCUAAUGUAAAACAAAAUGUGUUUUUUCCUCAUACCUUAGUACAAAGAAUGUACUAAUGUCUUGCUGGCAGCCAUCCAAAAACUUUCAGAUUUCUAUAUAAACCAGGAAUUUCAGACAGGUUUCUUUGGCUGCUCUGGUAUGUCCUACUUCGAGUGUACUUAUAUCACCAAAUUGAAUUCCGACACAAUGGACACUUGCUUUCAACAUUCAAGCCCCUAGUCAACCAUGACAAGCUAAUGUAAAAGGGAGAAACUUGGGAGAUGUAAUUUCUUCAUUCCAAACAACAGAACAGAAAUCAUAAACAAAAUUUUUACUCUGAUUAUCAUGCUCAUACGUCCCAUAUACACCUUAAAACCAACCUCAACCAAAAUCAACAACAUUUCAUUUUACCGGGAAGAUUAACUAAUUAAGACCAAUUAAGAAUAAUUACGCAGCAAAAUCUUACCGAACUGGGAUUGUAGAUUUCAGGGUGGGGCAAAUGCAGGGGUCAGACAUUUACUUCUUGCCCUUCCUUUUUGCAGGUUCUUGUUUGGUUCUCAAAUGUUUCCUUUUCCGAGUCAAAGCAAACUCUCCAAACUUAUGACCAACUUUGCCUUCGGUAAUCUUGCAACGAACAAAAGUUUUCCCGUUGUAAAUCCGAACGGUCUGAUUCACGAAUUCGGGCAAAAUCGUAGAUCUACGCGACCAAAUUUUCCGAUUGGCUAAAAGAUCUUUGUUCUUCUUAAUUUUUGACAAAAAUGCAUCCACAAAAGGAAGCCUUGCUGAUCGUUGUCGCGUAUUCGACGAAACUGAAACGAAAAUUCCCAUCUUUAAUUUAAAUUAAUAAAAAAAAUUUAGAAAAAAGAAAAAAAGAGUGGAAUCGAAUGAGAAUGAUAAUACCUGAGGAUGAGGAGCAGAAAGUUCUGGAAAAUUGAGAGAAGAUCGUCAAGGCAUUGAGGUUUUCCGGUGUGCUGGAAAUUGAAAGAUCGGUUUUUGGAAUCAAAGUUGAGGUACUUUUCAGAGGAAAAGAAGAAGAAGAAGUCGAUUGGAGGUUGAAAGCUUGGCGGAGAACGAAGAAUUUCCCUCUCAUUUUCCUUUCCUUUCCUUUUCUUUCUUUCCCUUCGAUUGUCUACUUUCCGACUCUCUUUCUCAGUGAGUUUUCGGGGGUAGGGUUUUUUCGCCCUUUGAAAGGGGUUUGGGGCCCGAAAAGAAUUAUGGCCCAAAACAAAUAGCUUAAAGGCCUAGAAAACUACUAUAGAUUACAGCCCAUCUAAAUAUUAAUGGGCUUUGACUCAAACAUUUAGCUGGGAUUUGAGCCCAGAGAUGGGUUCACCAUAGCUAUCCAAAUCCAAUAGCCAAGUUCUGGUGUAAUAGAUUUGGACUGACCUAACCAAAUAAAGCACAGUAGCAUUGUUAUAAUGCCAUUUGCAACUAAAAAAAUACAUUUAUCAAGUGGAGAAAAAUUUGUAUUUAUAAGUUUAAGAAUUAUAUCAUAACUUAUUAACCUGGGACACAUGACACUUUACUCUACUUAUCGUGCACCAUCCUCAUUACAUUAACUCUAUUACUCAUAAUAACACUAAAAUUUAAUUUUAAAAUCUUUACCCAUACCUCACCGUACUCGCACCAUUUCAUCUAGUCUCAAUAGCAUGAUGCUACCACUAUGUAGGUGUUAUAUGCUAAGUUUGUAACUUGGUUUCAAUCGGGGUGUUCUGAGCUGAAAUCCGAAUAAGAGAGACAUUUAGGACCAGAGAGGCCCAACCACCAUCUUGGGAUGCAAUGGAUUUGAGAUCAUUGAUCUCAAAAGUGACAUUCGUGCAUGACAUUACGGCAAAUCAAAAGUGAACAGUGAAUUUAAAACCGAAGAUAUCCACAUUGAGCUGGCAGGCAAAAAAACACUCUGGUGGUCUGAAGUGGGCAUUCUAUGCUGCCGAGGCAGUCGAACGAGGGAAGCCUUCUCUCUUUGGGGAUUUGGGACUGAGCUGUUGAUCUCUUCAUAAGAAAGGAACCACGGUUUUUUUGUUAUCUUCUAUAGGGCGGGGUUUAUUGUAUAUUCUUUACCUAUUGGUCCUGUGUUUAUUUUUUGAGGGACAUAUGUUGUACCUUUUUCUUUAAUUUCUAAGUGCUAUUUUUGUAAAUCUUCACAAGAGGAUGCAUCGUCAAGUGCUUUCAGGAGUGUACCAGUUCAAUAAUUUGAACUGUGAGUUUUUUUAUAGCUACUUAAUUAACACAAAUGGACUUUGUUUGAGCGAAAAAAAAUUCUGUAGCAGUCCCUCUGGCCCUCCACCAAUGGGAGCAGUCCCAAAAACACUAGCUGUUUCAAAGCGGGGUCAAUAUGAAGCUGCAUAUCUUAAUUAACAUCCUAUAAAUCGAGAGGUCAUUGCAAUUAGGUACCAAAAAGCAAAGAAUAAAAAUGAAUAAAGGAUAAAAUUUAAAAAAGUAGUCAAGGGACGAACAAAUGGUAAGGAAACAUGAACGAUACGUUUAGUUCGUGAAAUAAAUAAGAAUAAAAUAAAAUAAUUAUUAUAUGAGAAUAAAAUAAAGUAAGAAUAGAAUAAAAUAGUUAUUACGUAAUUUAAUAUAACGAAUGGAAUAGGGUAAGAAUAGUUAUUAUAACUUAUUACAGUGUUUGAUUGGUAAAAGUAAUUUUAAAAUAAAAAAUAAAAAAAUACCCUUUAUUGUAUAUGUGAUUAUUUAUUUUUUAUCUUAUUUUUUUGAAAAUCAAUAUUUUAUAAUUUAUUUAAAAUAUUAAUAAUUGAUAAUUUAAAUAGUAAUAUAUUCUUUAUAAUUUAAUCAUUAAUACUAUAUAGUAUUAUUAUUUUAUUUAUAAUUUAUUUAAAAUAUUAAUAAUUGAUCAUUUAAAUAUUAAUAUUUUAUUUACAAAUAUUAAUAUAGGUAAAGUUGUAAAUUGCUAAACUUAUGAGAAGUAAUUUAGUUUUAACAAAUUUUGAAGCUAUUCCACGAGACAUGAAAUAGCAAUACCAAGAGAAGAGUUGGGUGCAGUUAAAGAGGAGCUUUAACUAAUUUUGAGAAAUAGGUAAAAUGAGAGAAUGGCUAUUUCUUGCUUAAUUGGCAACCCAAAAAGAGUAAAUAAUAACUAGGAAUGACUAUUUCCCAUGCCAAACAUGGAGGAAAAGUUUGGUGUACGUCAAGUGGUGGUUGGGAUGUAAGCUGGGUGACCCCGGCACAAAUUCUUACGGGGCACGGAACGGAAUUAAUUAAAGCGUGGAAUAUGGGUAUCUUACGCAUUAUUUGAUCCUCGUCGUUAUGUAAAAAGGGAAUAGUCUUUGGAGAAGAUGUUUGAGACAGUGAACACUGAUUUGAUAUAUUUCAUAAAGUUAAGGGUAAGGAUCGUGUGGUGGAACAAAGCCCAAUGUGUUGAUGCAUAUCAACUCAUCACUGAUAUCUUGCGAAGUCCAAGUUUAGCGGUGAAACCUCAAAGCGGCAAGGCGUCAAAGAAAUCCUGUGUGUGGAUGUACCUAUUAAAGUUCUCUCACGGUUGGUGAUUAACAGAAGCAAAAGCUAGAUAAUAAGCCUUUGGUCAAUUUCAAUCAAUGAAAUAUUUUAAUGGAAAUUUUUUGGAAGAUCUAGUUCAUCAUCAUCUUCCCCUUUCAAAGUUGUCCACACCAUCUUUGCAAAAUCUAACAAAAUUGAAAUUGUGAGAUUUGAAAUGGUGCUUUGAACAACUUUCAAAGUGUAAGGAUGCAACAAGAUGAUAAAACUUAGUUUAACCCUCGGUAUUCCACACCUAAAGGAAGAUGAUUAACAGAAGAAAAAGCCAGAAAUAAUAAUAAGCCUUUGGUCAAUUUCAAUAUCAAUGUGAUUUUUAUGGAAAAAUAUUUUGGCAGAUGAUGAACUAGACGUCUAGUUCAUCAUCACGCCCUUUCAAAGUUGUCCACACCAUCUUUGAAAUUGUGAGAUUAUUGUGAAAUGAUGCAGUGGACAACUUUGAAAGGGCAAGGAUUGAACAAGAUGAUAAACUUCGGUUCACUCGUGGUAGUCCACAGCUAAAGCAAGAUGAUAAACAGAAGAAACAUACUUUAGAUCAUGCCUGGAUCGGACUUACAUAUUCAAACCCAUGUUUGAAUUUAUCUUUUCCAUUAUUCAGUCAAGGGUGAACUCAACAAGCCUUGGUGUUUUUAGUCCAAGUUAUUGACUUCAUAUGAUAAGAAAGUAAAUUGGGAGGCAUAUAAUGUUCCAAACCUAGAAAAAAAAGACACCCCAGAAAACAAAAAGCCAACCCUCCAAACCGUUAUUAUAUCCCAAAACCAAAGCAGACAUCAUACAAAACAUCAACUCAACAGAAUCAAAGAAAACAUCAUAAAAAGCAAAAUGAUUCUUCAAAGCUUAUCAACAAUCCAAACAAUACAGCAAUGGCCCUUAACACCACAAACUGGGGAGUAUAGUGGAAAAAGAAAUUCUAAAAUAGGUUAAUUAAUCAUAAACAUCUACCAUUCAUUAUAAUAAUAAUAAUAACAAUAAUUAAGAAAAUUUUUUUGAAAGAUGAUGAAGUAGACGUCUAGUUCAUCAUCAUGCCCUUUCAAAGUUGUUCACAGCAUCUUUGAAAUUGUGAGGUAGUGAAUGACGCUGUGGACAACUUAAUUUGAAAGGGCAAGGAUGCAACAAGAUGAUAAACUUAGGUUCACCCUCAGUAGUCCACAGCUAAAGCAAGCAGAAGAAACAUAUUUUAGAUCAUGACUGGACUUACAUAUAUUUUUUUUUUUCCUAUUUCUAGACGAACUGCCUUACUUCAAUUCUGUAAAAAUUCUCAUUAUCUUCUUUGGAAAGAGUGAUCGUGGCAUUCAGUCUGGAUGCAGCAAAACGCUUCCAUUGAUCUCCAUAGAUGGAGAAAUCGUUAGAUCCUUCCUUCUUGCAAAAAAACUCCCAUGUUUCUCCUAGACCACCCCUCACCCCCAAAAUUGUAUCACCAGCAGGCAGUGCUUGCCCAUCAUAAUGAAACCUCAACUUUCUCUCGUGAUAUUUUGCAAGAUUGAUUUCGAAGAUCCUCGCCAUGUCUGCUCCGCAAAUAGAAAUAGAUUAAUGAAGAUGAUGCUAAUUUGAGAGGGAGAAGUGUGGUGUGCCUUGAUGCCAAGGAAGGAACGUGGGGGGUAUAUGUAGUACUUGUUGGAUGCUAAAACAUUAGGCCUUAAUUACUUGGAAGAGUAUAAGUGUCAUUUAUUUGACUAACAAUAGCGGUGGAUCCGACUGUUCUUUUACUUGUGGGAUUGUGGUGUAGAAGUAUAAGUUUGAUGCAUACUUUAAGAUUGAAAGUGUUGCCCAAUAUUUGUCUUUGUAGAGUAGUAGUAUUAAUCACCUCAUUUUGUAUUCGAGCGUAAAAUAUGUGCAUGUGGCUGAAAGGAACAUGCAGGCCCUUUGAGCUGUCAAAAGAAUAUUACAAACGAAGAGGAGAAGGAAAAUGCCAUUUCCAUCAUUCAAAUUGAACCUUCGCUUUCUUAUUUGUUGUAUUGGCCUUUCGCUUUCUUAUUUUGGCCUGGGUGGGAUCCUGAGAGAGACAUUUUCCAAAAUCUCAAAUUGUUUCAUGUUCUAGGUGCCUCAAGCCUGAAGCAAGUUUUCUUUUCCUCACUCUCAGAUCCACGUCAGGCAGCAAUUAUUAGACUCCUUCGGAAAGGUCUGGAUACGUGAAGAAAUAUGAAGAAAUGAUUAUAUAGCUCGACUCAUGAUCCCUUUAACUUUGUGAAAGAUAGUACGAAGUCCAUCUAUUCCUCAAAGAUAUCGUUCACAGAAAGAAAAGUAGUACAUCCGUUUAAAGAUAAGUCGGCAAUUAAAAUUUUCUUUUAAAGAGCAGAGAAAAGGAAUUCAUUAAAAUAAGGGAGCAGGAAAACCCUUUGUGAGAACACAGGCCACGGAACAUGAGCUCAAAAAACAGACGAUAUUGGUCAAUAUACCUCCCGUAUGACUGGGCAUAUUUUACCAAUAGCCCCUAUAAUGGACCCAAGAUCAGGAAGUCGGUAAUUAAAUUAAAGUAUCGACCUAAAAAAAUCUAUAUUAAUUUAAUGCUCCUCCAUUUAUAGAGAAUACGGAAAUUAAAUUUGCAGACAGCUAAUUAAUAUGAUUAUGAUAUGAUAUCAACUUAGCUAGGGAUCAGAUAAAAUUUUAAGUCACAUUAUUAAAUAACUACUCUUUACUUUAUUUUGGUGGGUUUCAGAAUGCUGAAACUAUUACUAUAAGGCAAUCCAUGUACCGGCGGAAGCGGAUUACGUGAAAAUAAUGCGGAUGGAAAAGAUGAAGAUAAUCAUGCUGAAUUUACAGUAUUCUUGGGCUUUUUCUUUUAUUUUCUUGACUUUUAUCGAUAUUCCACAUGCAAAUAGAAUUCCACAUGGUCUCCACCUUCUCUUACUAAAGAUGACUUCUUUCCUGGCCGGAAGUGUCCUUAUGGCCGAAAAACUAACACUUUAUUUCUACGGCUUUAGUUCCCCUAUUUUACCCGAAUUCUAACACCAACUUUUAAUUUUUAUGAAUUGCAAAUUACUUUCUAACCUGCUUUGGAGUAAUUAAUGAUAAAUUAUUGUUAUUUUUUAGUUCAAUAAAGAAAGAGAUAUUCAAAUGCUUAACGUUUACUUCUAUACUAAAAAAAUAACUGCACCGUUUUUGUUAUUUGCGGGAUCUGAAUUUUGACUUCUCUAUUUGUAUCUUGCUGCAAGUUGAUUCUUUGUUUAUUUCCAUGUUGCUUUCCUGCUCAAGCUUUUGAUAUUGGUGUGCUUCUUUAAUCAAAAAACUUUAGAUUCAAUUAAUCAGACGAUUAAAUAAAAUAAAGAAACUUUCGUCAAUCUUGAUAGGGAAAGUGACAGUAUAGUGUCAAUUCAAACUACUUCUUAUCGGCGUACUAUUUAAAAAGAAUUCUUAAAUUUUAAAAAAAAAUUAAAUAUAUCUUUAUAUAUUUAUUAUGUUUAAUUAAAUUCGUAUAUUUUUAUUUUAAAUUAAAUAAAUUUUUAUAUUUUUAUCUUGAAUCAAAUAAUCGCAUUAGGUGAGACAGAACCCUAAUUGUAACUUGAUCUGCAUUGUUUGAAGGUAACAACCAUAAGAAAACAUACACAUUCAACAUAACUAGGUCCUGAAACCAGCCCAUUACAGCCAGACCUUAUGGUUAUUGAAUACCCUUUUUUAUUUAGUAAUAAUUAAAGUAAUUAGAUAAUUUUUAAAUCAACUAUUUGGGUGUUCUAAGCUGAAAUCCAAAUAAGAGAGACAUUCAGGACCCACAAAGGCCAAAGUACUAUAUUGGGAUGUGAUAGAUUUGAGGUCAUUGAUCUCAAAAGUGAAAUUCAUGCAUGACAUUACUUCAAAUCAAAAGUGAACAGUGAAUUUAAAAACCGAAUGGUGUCCACAUUCAGCAAGCAGGAAGGCAACAAAACACUCCAGUGGCCUACUACUCUUCUAAAGUGGGCAUCAUUUGAUGCCGAGGAAGUCGAACGAGGGAAGCCUUCUCUCCAUUGGGACCGCGCUGUUGAUCUCUUCAUGAGAAAGGAUCCACGCACGUCUUUUUCUUAUUUUCUAGAGGGCUGGGUUUAUUGAAUAUUCUUUACCUAUUGCUCCUGUGUUUAUUGUUUCAGGGACAUGUUGUUCCUUUCUAUUUAAUUUCUAAGUGCCAUUAUUUCUGUAAAUCUUCACUAAAGGAUGCAUCAUCAAGUGCUUUCAGUAGUGUACCAGUUCAAUAAUUUGAACUGUGAGACUUUUUAUAGCUACUUAAGUAAUACAAUGGACUUCAUUUGAGUAAAAAAAAAAAUUGUGUUAUUAGUAGUCCCUCUGGCUCUCGCCAAUGGAAGCUAUUCCAAAAACUCUAAGGUUAUGUUUAAUUGACGGAAUAAAUAGAAAUGAAAUAAAAUAGUUAUUAUAUGAUAAUAAAAUAAAGUAAAAAUAUCAUAGUUAUUAUUUAGUUUGGUAAAACGGACGAAAUAUGAUAAGAAUAAUUAUUAUGAUUUAUUACAACGUUUGGUUGGUAUCAAUAAUUUUAAAAUAAAAAAAAUAAAAAAAUCUUUUAUUAUAUAUAUGAUUAUUUAUUUUUAUUUAAUUUUUAAAAUAUUAAUAAUUUAUAAUUUAAGUAAAAUAUUAAUAAUAAAAAUAUUAAUAAUUAAUAAUUUAAAUAUUAAUAUUUUAUUUAUAAUUUAAUCAUUAAUGUUUUAUUAGAAAUUAAAAUCAAAGGAGAGAAGGAGGAGAGAGAGAGAGAAAAAUAUUGUAUACCAAUAGCGUUGUAAUUUUUUAAAUUUAUAAAAAAUAUUUUGAUUUUUAUUAUUUUUUAAAUUUAUUUUACAAUCAUGAAAUAAUUAAUAUCAUGAAAAAAGAUGAUAUUAACUAUUUUUAAAUUUUAAAAGAUUUUAAAAAAUAACUAUUUUUAUAAACAUGAUUAUUCCUUAUGCUAUUUCGAGGUCAAAUAAGAAAAUAAAAAUUUCUUAAGAAUAAAGAGGGAAUGCUCCAAACGUGCCAUAGCUGUCUCAAAGCGGCGUCAAUAUGAAGCUGCACACCUCAACAUCCUACAAAUCGAGAGAUCAUUCCAGUUAGGUAGCAAAAAGCAAAGAAUAAAAACGAGUACAAGACAACAAAAAAUAGUAAAGAGACAACCAAAUGGCAAGGAAAUUUUGAAAAGUUCGCUGUACGUGAUGUGAUAGCUGGGAUGUAAGAUGGGUGACACCUGAAGCGGCGCAAAAUUUCUUCUCGGUAUGGUGUGGCAAUGACGUGUCGAGGGAAAGAAUCAAAGCGUGGAAGUGGGUUUCUUUAUUAUUAUUUGGUCUGGUGGGUAUGUAGAAACGAGAAAAAGUUUGAGAAAGUUAGCAAGUAUUUGAUAUAUCAUAAAGUUAAAGCUCGAGUGGUGGCACAAAGUCAAAUGUGUCAAUGCAUAUUACUGUUCACGGAUAUCUUGCAAAGUCCAAGUUUACCAAUGAAAUCACAAAGAAGCAAGGUGUCCAAGAAAUGCUUCAUGUGGAUGUGGUCACUAAGGGACACUCAAAUUUGAUGUUGAGAAUUCGUCAAAAGGUAAAUAGGGUAAAUUAAAUAUUGAUGGUAAUCUAAAAUCGAGAAAGAUAUAAUUACAAUUAUAUUGUUUAAAACUAUUGAUAUUUUGGAUUUUAAUAUUACAUAAUUAUCAGCUAUUAAAGAGACGUUUAUUGUCGGUCACCUUUAAAUUGGCAGACACUCAAAAUACCAUUAUUUGCAUAUAAUCUCCUAUACUAGAGUAGGGCGCCCACCCAUCGAGAAAUCAAAAUUAUAUUCAUUGAUCAUAGUAUUUGGUACAGUGCUAGGGAUAGAUAGAGAUUAGAUUAAAAAAGAAUAACCCAAGUAUAGAAAGAAUAUCUCAUUGGGAACUGAGUGGCUUAUUAACGUGUCAUAUGUUGUCUUGGACCCACAGGUGAUACAAUUUGGUAUACGUGUCCCCUUGGACCCAAAAGCGAUACUCUGGACACGCCUGGAUGGAAGGUAUUUGAUUUUCAUAUCAUGUGUCAAAACUUUUUGGCUUUUUGUGUAUUGAUGGUCGAGUCGCAUUGAAUAUGCAUUAAGCUCUUCUUUUUUAAUUUAAAAAAAAAAGGCAAUUAGCAUCAUCAAGGUCAUUGUCCUUCACCAAUUCACCUCAUGAUAAAUUGACAACUCAUGCUUCAUAAAUAUUGAUAUCCAAUGGAUUAUACAUAUUUCAAUAACAUAGGGGACAAAGAUCUCUUAUAAUUACAGUAUUAUCUCAUAUAUAUAAACUUGAAGCUAGAGUUAGGCAGCUCUUUCCACCUACCAUAAAAGAUUAAAAGGGUUGCAAGAUGUGUCACUAAAAUAUCCAUCUGCUCACAGCUACAACCAGCAGAUCAUGAAGGCAUAGCAAACUCUCAACAACUCUUGAGCCAUUAGCUCUCUUCUCAUACUUGAGGAAUGUGACAGCAGUGACACCAGGAGUGGUCCAUCAAAUGCCAUUUUUAAUCACCUAACAUACCCAACCAUUUACUAAAUCAACUAUGUAUGCACCCACCGUAUACAGCAAGCUAUCAUCGGUUUUUAGUUAUUAGCAAACAAGUGACAACAAUUCAAGUCCAGAUGGGAAUCAAUUUGGCAACAUAAAAAGCAUAGUGACUUAAUAUUUUGACAUAGUUUGGGAUAGAUAUGCUGCCCAGAGCUAGAAGCAUCCAAAUCUAAUUCUUUAAUUCUCCAAUAGAUUCAUGAGCUUGAGAUUUCAAAAAGUAUAACAGCUUUGGCAUUAACUAAUGGCAACUACUUUCUAGUAUGGGAUCAUCUUUAAUGGCAAGCAAAUUCUCAAUACUAAGGGUACAUUGAAUGAGGAGACAGACAAUGAAAAUCAUAUCCACCACAAAGGGAUCAAUAAUCAUUAAACUAACUAAACAAUCAAAAUGCAAUUUGGACAUGUUAAUUUUACUUUAUUCACAUUUUGAAAAUUUACAACUAAAAAUAUUUUAAUUUUAUAUUUAUCUCUUAUAAAACUAUAUUUAUAUUAAAAUUUUAAACUUAUCUGUGAUUCGUCAAAACUACAUUUGAAAAGAAAACAAAAAAGUCUCGAAGUCAUUUUUGUUUUGUCUUCUUCGUGGGAAAAGGGGGGAGGGCGACAAAAACUAAACUUUCAACAUUUCAUAGUUUCAAAGUUUCAUAAUAAUAUGAUGGGAAUUUGGUUUUUUGUGACGUGAUGGCAUGCCUAACAGAAGCAUCAACCAAAUAGAGAGUUACAGCAAAGCCUGUUGUUUUAAUAAUUAAUUUUCAUUGGACGUGUGAUUGUCAUUUAUAUACAACUAUAGUAUUGAAAGAGGCAGAUCGAUCCACCAUCGUCAUUGGACAGCAUGUCCAAUCCGAUUGACUUUUGACUUAUGAAAUGGCCAAAGUUACCUGUCUCAUCGCUCUUGUCUUCUUAUUUUCCUACUUCCAAGUUAAGGUCCAACAAAAUAACUCGGUUUUGGCUCCACGUCAACAAUGAUGUCGCUCCACGUCGAUGCUGCCGAUGCAGGAAAUGUGCUCGUGUCAGGUGCCGAGUCUUAAACUGAACCUGCGAGUCGUGUCUCGAGCCGUGACACUUGCAUACGCCCUUUUGUGCACACCACUUCUACAAAUGGUGGGGGUGUGUUAUACAUGCAGUGGACCAUAUGUGCACCGCUAAAGCACAAGGGCCUUUAGCCUUGGGUCCACGACAACAGUCCCUUCACAUGUUGACGUACGCAACGGGUUCGAAGGCAGGGAUAUUGUAAGCGAUUCUCUUUCUUUUUGUCUUUUGAUAAGCCAUUAGAUUAUUAAUAUUUCAAAAUUAGAUACCAAAGUGGAGAUCUCUUCACAGAAAAGAAACCCCAAGUUAGACUAGUUGUCAGCCAUUCCUGCUGCGAGAUUGCAGGUACGCUGGAUUGCUUUGUGUAUGGCUAGAUGAGAUUUUGUCGGGAUUAUAAAUGGUGGUUUCCUUUUUGUAGUGGAACGAUUUAGGAUGUUUUGUGCAAGGGUGGGCCCGAGCGUGACUUUCAGUACAGGUUAUAGAUUAGUAGCCAGACUUCUGUUCCUAUUGAAGGAUCCGAAAUUUGGAGCAACUCCCAUAUUUAACGAAACCUACUAAAGCUUAUAAAAAAACAUACCUAUAGUUUUGAUAGGUAUUUAAUUUAACCCAAAGAGCAUGUUGGCCAAAAUGAUAGGUAUUAGAGUAACAUUCCUAGUUAGUAUCCAUAAGAAAGACAUUUAGGGCUCACAACGGUCCAAAUAAUCUGUCAUCUCAACAGUGACAUCCGUGCGUGACAGUACGUCAUAUCAAAAGUGAACGGUGAAUCAACAAAACACCCCAGUGGUCUAAAGUGGGCAUCAUUUGUGGCCGAGGCAGUCGAAUGAGGGAAGCCUUCUCUCCAUUGGGACUGAGCUGUUGAUCUCUUGGUAGGAAAGGAUCCACAGUUUUUUUGUUAUCUUCUAUAGGGCUGGGGUUAUUGUAUAUUCUUUACCUAUUGCUCCUUGUAUAUAUUUUUUGAGGGACAAUUUGUACCUUUUUCUUUAAUUUAUAAUUGCUAUUAUUUCUGCAAAUCUUGACUAGAGGAUGCAUCAUCAAGUGCUUUCAGGAGUGUACCAGUUCCAUAAUUUGAACUGUGAGACUUUUUAUAGCUACUUAAAUAACACAAUGGGCUUUGUUUGAGUAGAGUCCUUCUGGCCCUUGCCAUUGGGAGCUGUCCCCAAAAACUCUAGCUGUUUCAAAGCGGAGUCAAUAUGAAGCUGCACAUCUUAACAUCCUAUAAAUCGAGAGGUCAUUGCAGUUAGGCACCAAAAGGCAAAGAAUAAAAACGAGUAAAAGAUAAAAAUAAAAAAAGUAGUAAAGAGACAAACAAAUGGUAAGGGAACACGAAAAGUUUGGUGUGCAUGGUGUGAUGGUUGGGAUGUAAGAUGGGUGGCCCCUAAGGAGGCACACAAUUUCUUUUCGAUAUGGUGGGGCAAUGAUGUUUCGAGUGACAGAAUCAAAGCGUGGAAGAUGGGUUUCUUUGUUAUUUUUUGGUCUUGUGGUUAUGUAGAAAUGGAAUAGUCUUUCCACACAAAAAUUUGAGACUGAGCAAGCAUUUGACAUAUAUCAUAAAAUUAAGGAUCGUGUGGUGGCGCAAAGUCAAAUUUGUCAAUGCAAAUUACUUUUCACGGAUAUCUUGCAAAGUCCAAGUUUAGUAGUGAAACCUCAAAGAGGCAAGGUGUCAAAGAAAUACUCUGUGUGGAUGUGCCCAUCAAGGGUCUCAAAUUCAUCGUCGACGAUUUGUCAAAAGGUAAAUAGGGUAAAGCAAGUAUUAAUGGCAAUCUACGAAACGAGAUAGAUAUGAUUACGAUUAUAUUUUUCUAAAACUAUUGGUAUUUUGGAUUCUAACGUCACAAAAUUAUCAGCUAUUAAAGAGACGUUUAUUGUCUGUCACCUCCAAAUUGGCAGGCACUCAAUGUGUACCAUUGCUUGCAUAUGAUCUCCUAUAGUAGAGUAGGGCGCCCACCGAUCGAGAAAACAAACUUAUAUGCAGUGACCAUAGCAUUUGGUACAGUGCUAGGGAUAGAUAGAGAUUAGAUGAAAAAGCUUAACCCUAGUAUAGAAAGAAAAUCUCAUUGGGAACUGAGUGGUUUAUUAACAAGUCAUAUGUAGUCUUGGACCCACAUGUCAUUCAAUUUGGUGUACAUAUGCCUUUGGACCCAAAAGCAAUAAUCUGGACACACCUGGAUGGAAGGUAUUUGAUUUUCAUAUCAUGUGUCAAAACUUUUUGGCUUUUUGUGUAUUGAUGGCUGAGUCGCAUUGAAUAUGCAUUAAGCUUUUUCUUUUUAAUGUUUUUUAAAGGCAAAUAACAUGAUGAAGGUCACUGUCCUUCACCAGUUUCACCUCAUGAUAAAUUGACUACUCUUGCUUCACAGAUACUCAUAUUCUAAUAAGCAUGGAUUCUACAUAUUUCAAUAACAUAUAUAGGGGACAAAGAUGUCUUAUAUUUACAGUAUAUUAUCUCAUAUAUAUAUAUAUAAACUUGAAGCUAGAGUUAGGCAGCUCUUUCUACCUACUACACAAGAUUAAAAGGGGUGGAAGAUGUGUCACUAAUAUAUCAAUCUGCUCACAGCUACAACCAGCAGAUCAUAAAGGCAUAGCUAGCAAACCCUCAACAACUCUCGAGCCAUUAGCUCUCUUCUCAUACUUGAGGAAUGUGACAGCAGCGACAUCAGAAGUGGUCCAUCAAAUGCCAUUUUUAAUCACUUACUGUAGACACAUAAAUUAAAAAAAAAAUAAAUAAAUAAAAAAAAUAAAAAAAUAAAAAAAAUAAAAAAAUAAAAAAAAUCGGGAUGGCUGGGGCGUACGCCCAGCCAUCCCGUCGCCGUCCCAUCCCCCACCCACUACGCGGGAUGGGGGGUUCUGGCCACCAACUCCAGGGGUGCCAGAACCCCCUCGCCGGGUUGUCCAAAUUUUUGGACAACCCGGCUCUUUAAAACCCUGCAAAAAGCAAAAAAACAACGGUUAGCCACAAACAAUCAAAGAACAAAAAGCAACAACAAAGAAAAAGGGGAAAAAGGGUUGAGAUCUGAGAAGAGAAAGGGGUAAAGAGAGAAAAGGAAGGAACGGCCGGGGGAGAGAAGAAGGGAGAGAGCUUGACGCCGGCAACGGAAGGCGAAGCGAUUCGCCGGCUAGGAGAGAGAAAUCCGAGAGGAGAAGGGGGGACGCCGGCGCCGGCGAAGAGAGAAGAAAGGAGAGUUUUAGAGAGAAGGGAGAGGAAACGCUAGAGAGAGAAACUGAAAGGCUGAAAAUGAGAGGAAAAGACAAAAACGGGACUUAUAUACCCGAGUUUAGGGCUUAAAACGGCGUCGUUUCGGCAGAGGGAAGAAUCCAAAGGGUCGACCCCAAAACGACGUCGUUUGAGGGAGUCCCCAGAGCCCCAAAACGGUGCGUUUAGGAGAGGGCCAAGCGGACCAAGGAAGCGGGCCAGGCAGACCUCCACGCGGCCCAGACCACUUGGGCCAUCCUUCCAGCCCAACGAGGUAUAACCCAUUUUCCUGUUUUGUUUUGUUUGGGCUUCUUGGUGUUGGGUCUAGCCCAUUUUAAUAAAAAUACAUUUUUUUU
Molecule: long non-coding RNA, 56701 nt
Filed under: Theobroma cacao (cacao)
Lineage: Eukaryota; Viridiplantae; Streptophyta; Magnoliopsida; Malvales; Malvaceae
Description: long non-coding RNA (TCAC_LNC000664)
Source: RNAcentral